CUUUUUUUUUCUUCAGCAUGUUCAGUUUGAACGUAACGAUGUACCAGUUUGUAAUCCACUGAAUACUUAAAUGGGGUUGUGGAUGUUUCUACUGUCGUUUUUGUCGUGGUUACAGUUAUUUCCGGAACUGGAGAAGGUGGUGUUUCUUGAUGAUGAUGUCGUGGUGCAAACGGAUCUGAGCCCUUUGUGGAAUAUGGAUCUUCAUGGGAAAGUUAACGGUGCUGUUGAGACUUGUCGUGGGGAUGACACAUGGGUGAUGUCGAAGACGUUCAAGAACUACUUCAAUUUCUCGCACCCCAUAAUCUCUUCAACGUUUGAUCAAGAUAAGUGUGCGUGGGCAUAUGGCAUGAAUGUGUUUGAUUUACGAGCUUGGAGGAAAGCUGACAUUACUCGUGUUUACCACUAUUGGCAAAAGCAGGUAUGUGCUCUCUCGUUUCUGCUCGGUUAAAAACGAGUGACUUGAACUUCUGCCUGUGGCAUACUUCUACUAUGCUAUGUUUGCAAAAUGGAGAAGGUUCAGUUUUGGUAUCGAUCCUUGACGGCGGUCUUUCAUAGCUCAGAUCCAAUGCCUUUGAUGAACGAUAGGUGAAGUUCAAUAGCUUUGGGGUUUGCCUGUCUUGGAGGUGAUAUGUUAAAGUACUGAAUCAGUUCGUGUAUUUGUUCAGAAUCUGCAACUGAAUUUAACGUUGUGGAGGUUAGGGACGUUACCCCCAGCACUGAUAGCCUUUGACGGGAAUGUGCAUCCAAUCCCUGGUAACUGGCACAUGUUGGGCCUGGGGUAUAAUACGAAAACUAACUUAGAAGCUGUGGAAAAGGCAGCUGUGAUUCACUACAAUGGACAAGCGAAGCCGUGGUUGGACAUUGCUUUUCCGCAGCUGAGACCGUUCUGGUCCAAGUACGUGAAUUACUCUAAUGAAUUUGUUAGGCAAUGUAAUAUUUUGGACAGAGCGUAGCUUCUCUUUCAACCUCGUUUGUUAAUUGGAGAAUCGCUAUCAUGAAUUCCUCGUCUUCUGGCUACAAGUCCCUGUCUCGGAGAGAUACCCAAGGUGUCGUAUAGAGGAGGUUCAUGUGAAGAGGCUCAAGAGCAGGGAUGGCAAAGCAUGGGCUGUUGUCGGAGAUUGUAUUGCUGGAUGCGCAAGCAAACAGAGUGGGCCUGUGAUGUACUUGAAUGGAAUGGGGGGAGGUGAAGUUGAAGGCAGAGACAUUACAUGUGAAGAUAGUACCCUUGAAACAUGAGAGGGUAGUGUUGAGGUGAAGGUUGCAGUGGCUUGUCCCGUGAGGAUUAUUCUUGUCACAUUAUUUGCAACAGCUAUAGGGUAUGAAAGUGUUGCAUGUCACCUGAUUUUUUGAAAUAAGGUCAGCAAGGUCAUUAUUGAUAGAGAGCAGUAAAGUGCAUUACCUUGACUUGAGUUCUCGUUGUCGAGUAGAAACUUCCAAAUUGGAAUAUGUGUAACACCUUUGUUUCUUUUUAUACUUUUGGUGCUAAUGUCACCCUUAUAACAACAUCGUUUCUCUCCUAGUUGAGCUUGAAUGGAUACCCUUCGGUUCUUAAUCGUGGAAGUUUGGAGCAUAAAUGCUCUGGACACUAAGCAGGAUGUGUUAUUGAAAGAGGCGUAGGUGGACUUUACCGAUACCUUUGAAAAGUGUAGUAGGAUGAUAUUGGUCAAGAUGGUUUGGGAGGGUAAAGUUAUUUUUGCUAGAAAACCAUGUAGUAAAUUUUGACCUGUAUUUCUUCUUAACUAGUGCAUGCUCUGUCGAGUUAUAUUUGUGUUAGCUGCAUUUUCAGUUGUUAACUGGCCGGUUAUUCCUGGAGAACUGGCUUGAAGAACCUAUUGAACGGAGGUGCCCAACUAACUAUUUCAUUUCAGUAACAAUUUCUCGGCUUCGCAACAGAAUGCAAGGGUACUCUCUGAAACUCUGAACCAACGUUGUAUGUGCAGCAGGAUACUCCUUAGCGCUUAGUUCAGAAUCAAAUGUAUUGGGACCAUUGUAGCAAGGAUUGAUGUCGUUCUUUUAGAGGAAAGUAUUUGGGGCACACGGACUUGUCUGCUCAACCUUAAGAAGUCAUGUUCCAUCCACAUGCGCUGGUAAAUAGAAAUUAGCAGCUCAAGUUUGAUAAUCCUACAGUAACUGUAUUUGUGAAUAAUGUUAAUGCUUUAUCAGCUUGUAUUAGUAUUAUAAUGUUGGCGUGGAUUCCAACUUUUUUUUCACUUAAUUCUUAAAUUGCCAGCUUGGUAAUAUCUCUGUUCUUUUUCAUACUAUAAGUUGAAAAUAUUGGCUUGAAUAAAGUCUUAGAUAGCCACAAAUAAAAAAUACUUUUAAUGAAUUGUGUUGGAUGUUCAUAUAUUUCUUUGCUGAAAUUUUAUAGGAAUUUUGCAUGUUGCCAUAUUGUUGUUCAAACCACUCAGAAUAAAACAGUGCUUUGGAUGUCUAAAUUGGUAAAAGAUCAUUUGAAAAGAUGUAGUGAUGAAGGGCGUAUAAUUUUCCGUAGUUAUAGAAAUCAGAAACUUAUUCUCAGCAGUUAAUAUUUUUAGCAAUAGCUAUCGAUUACAUCUUAUCCGUGACGGACUUCCUUUACUAACCAUGCAUGUGCUAAGGGUUGAAUCUUACUUUUUCUUUGCCAUAUACUAUAGGGUGGGUUGUAUAGCAGAGAAUUUCCGACGUGUUCCAUAGUGGUGUGUACUUUUCAGUGAACAACUUUUCAUCUGUUAGUGUGUUAGGUUAGAAUUGUGAUAUUGCAGAAUUUAUGGAUAGGAUACCAGCUUAAAUGGCUUGUAAAAUUUUGUCAGGGUCAUUUGAAUUGUACUUACUCCUUAUCCGCCAAUCUUUUAAUAGUUUCUCGACUAUGUAUUAACUACGAUCACUCCGCUUUGAUGACCGUAUACUCUAUGUUCCGGCAGGUGUAAAUGUUCUGCAUGUAGUGGGCGUGAAAGUUCACAACGGGAAAAGAUGGCCGAGAUAUUCAGGGUUACAUUGAGAAAAUGUUCUAGGAUGGAUUAGCAUGGGUGAAACGUAUGGCAUUUUCGCCUCCAGAAGUGUCAAAGGAAAGCAGUAGCUAAUAGGGUGUUUCACUUAUGUUAGUAACAUUCCGAUAAAAUCUAUGUCAAAUUCUCAACUAACAAGCUUUUAAAGAAUUUCUUAACAUUAACAUGUUGACGUAUAUUCAAACGUGCAACAGCAAUCAGUUUCGGCCGACGCUCGUCACUAUAAUGAAGUACGUCGUAAUCGCUGCAGAUAGAUUUAGACAUAAUCGAAACAACACAAAUGCACAUACGCCACAAACUGAAUGUGUUCUCAAUAUUAAGAUGCAGAAUGGGCAAUGUUAUUACAAAGGGCACCCCCGCGCCAUACCGACGAAAUCCAUCUAUCCUGCUAACGGAGUUCUACAGGAACGGUUAACAUGCAGUUGUGCCUGAACAUACGUGAAACUUGAUUGAUUUAGAUUUCCCGCUGGGUGAAUGAUAGCACACUUCUAACAAAAUUAUGUACAAGGUCAUAGCAUGCCCUACUACCUUGGCAAUAAGGGCAGCCGUAGCUCUGUCCGCCACACCUGGGAGCUCCUGCACCACAGAUCGGCCAUUUCUAAAGCAAAAAUUCACCGAAAAUAAAGUCUCUACUCGUAGAAAGAAAACUACAAUUCGUCGCCAGAUGCGUUUUGAAGUACUGUCGACCAUCUCACGGAGAAAACCUCCAGUACAAGCACUGCGAGUGGUAAUAUGUUUGAAAAUUGACAAGAGGCCAAGAUAGAAUUCUUGCACUUCCCGCGUCCGGUGGGACUUCUGAAGAUAUCAUGUUCACAGGGCACCAAACUCAGAUGCGCUAAUUUCGAAACUGAAACUCACAACUGAGCGAAUCCUGCCGCAAUAGCCAACAGGCUGACGAGAACACCAGCGACGCUGUAAACGGCGCCGGAGACAGCUCCCGAAGACUGUCCUUCCGUCCCUCCGGGUCCGGGUGCAGGCGCACCUUGUGCCAUAACCAUAGUGCCCUGCAUGCCAAGCGACAAGAGGAAGACUGCCGCGACUAUCGCGGAAGCAACAGAAAGGUUGACGAGGGCCAUUGCGACGAGAAGAGCUUUACGCUACCAAGCGCUCGAGAAUCAGCGAAACCAGACAAGAACGGCGGCGAGAGAAAAAAGAUGGACGGUCUUCUGUACCUGGAACCGAGAGGAUGCUUCCUCUUUAUGGGAAAGAGGAAGGAUAUGUUACUGGUAAGUCGACGGGCUUACUAGUAAACGGUAACAUUCUUCGGCAGCAACGUACUCGUGAUGGGUUGAACGGUAACUGGAGCACUUUAUCGAAAUCUUUCGAAUUCGAUAUUUUGGUUCGUUCAAAAAAGUAAAAGUCUACGGCACGGAGAGCAAAAAGCUUUCGGAGAAAACACUGAUUUCGCUACUGUAUGUAUGUAUGUACGUAUUUAUAUGUGUGUUUUGCUGUUUUCUGAUUCUUAUUUAAUCAAUCUAUAUAUAUUUAUUAAUCGUUACCAGAUCACUUUGAUGAUGUAUUGACAUACACAUGUUUGUAAAAUCUUCAAUAAUCUUGUAACUACCAUAGAUUAAAUAAAUUGUCAUAUAAAAUAUACAUUAAAAAAUAAAAUAUACAUUGUAGAUUCAAAAUAAAAAUUUAAAAAAUCAACGCAAGUGUUAAAAUUUUGAAAUUUGAAAAUUUGAAAAUUUUAUUUAAAUUAUCUUUUUUUUGAUUUUUUAAUUUUUUUCUUAAAUUUCUUUUGAAUAGAGAACAAAAAAUCGUACAUGAAGGUUGUUUGGGUGCAGAACUUUAUUUCAUGCUUUAUUUCAAUGCUAGUUAAUUGGACUGAAAGUAGGCAUGGUUAACUGAGGACCUUAAGAAAACAACAUUAUUACCCGGCUAAUGAUUAAAAAGAUCUUUUAAAAACUUACUAAACAAACAUAUGGUUUUUUUGUUAGCAAAAUAAAAUAUCAAUUCUUAUUUGAACAUUGUACUCAAUUUUUGAAGUUUAUUGACUUUCAUUAUAUGCAUUGUUAUUAAUUACAAUCUGGGUUAAGUAUUUUAAUUUAAUCUAUUGACAAUUUCAUUACAAAUUAAUGUUUAAAGAAGUAAGGAGGAUUAUAAAAAAUAUAUUGUAGUUGUUUGAUUUAGUUUAGUACAAAGUGAGCAGAUUUUGUUCUAUGCAACAAUUUCAAUACUUUUUCGCUUUUUUUCUUAAAAAAAAGUUGUUUAAUCUUUCUCAUUUAUAAUUGUUAAUCAUAAAUAAAUAAAUGAAUAAAUAUAAUAUUUCUAUUACCACCACAAUAUGUCACCUACUAAACAUAUUUAUUUAUUUAUUUUAUUUCAAUAAAGGUUAUAUUAAUAUUUCUUAUAUACAUUUAAAAUUAUAUAAAAUUUAACUUAAAUUUUAAUAAAAAUUAAUUAAAAACUCAUAAGAAUUAAGUGUGGCAGCAGUAGCAGAAACUUUGGUGGCAUUAACAACACCCUCUUUCUACAUACAUGUGUAUAUAUCUUGAACUCAACAUUGACCCACGUCAUCUACAAACAAACCAUGAAAGAUGGGAAACGAAAUGAGAAUGCACUUGGUUUCGUCACCACAAGCUGAAUGGAAAAUGAGCCUGGAGGCCUGGUCUCCGAGGAGUACUUACACGAGAGUGGUUGGAUUGGAAAUCCACCGUGCAUCACGCUAUAGCUUCCUCGUCGUCGUCGUUUUUGGGAGUCUGCUGCAGCUCCUCGAUCGAAUUCAUAACCUCGGUCUGCAGAGGGUUUCUAGCUUUUCCAGCUGACCGCAUUGCAAAUUCUUUCUCAACCUCACGCUCUUUCUCUCUCAUGUAGUUUCUUUCUUAUCUUCAGUGGUUGGGUUACAUUCCGGUUCCAACACAACCACGUUGACACAGUGGAGGACGACAGGGGCGCAGCAAGAAAACGAUGUCAUCAAUGCUCUUCCAUUAAAGCUCACUCUGUGGAUCCAGCAAAACCAAGUUCCUGCUCGGUUGAAGCAUCGUGGAGCAUUCUCUUGGGGCAAGGAUCUUCGUAUCCCAGGAACAUCGCCCGUUUUGUGUUCCAUUCGUCACUGCUGUCAUGUCUAUCCUGUGGAGCACUAGUUUACGUUGCAGUUGUAUGGUGAACACACCCCCACCCCCAGACUGAAUCCCAGACAUGCCACGAAAGCAGCAACGAGAAAUGGGCAUAUCCUUGCAUUACAGACUGUGCGGUAGACUCGAUGGUCAUGACAAAGUCACCCCCAGAAAUUGUACGCAUAAUCCGAGGGGAUGAGGAAUGGAAAUUAUGCUGGACAUACUGACAUGACGUGGAAAAUCAGUGCAAGUACGACGUUCAUAAUACUGCCUCUGAACUCCUUAGUGCACUACAGAAUGCUCGCUCUAAUGGCCUCAACACAAAGUUACUUGAGCCAUGCAGAAGUUCUUUUUGGAACCAAGAGGAGUAAGGUAGAUAUCUCCAGGUUGCUCUAGCCCAAGAGGACGAACAAUCUCAACACACGAAGUCCAAACUUGGAAACAUAACGUCAAGAAAGUUAAACUUUGGCUGAAAGUUUCAGACACCAAAAUGACCGAUACUAUCUUUUACUGCGUUUCGUUUGCAUGAAACGAUUAGAAGCAGUAAAAUUACAGCAGAAAAUUCAUACGGUUGGUACACAGGACUUUAGGAUAAGACACAAAGAUAACUAUACCAGCAUAGAGAUAUGUUGAUUAUUCUUCGGUCUAAAACGUAUUGUCAUGCACGAAUUACUAAUACAGACAAUAGAAAGGACGAUUACAGGUUCGUACAUGUGCCUGAGGGAUCCACAAAAAAGGUGAUAUUGUCCGGUUGGAUAAUAAAUGGGCGAAUCGGCUAAUUUCCACAAUAUUACUUCAAGACCUCGCUGUAUGACACAAUCUGCUCUACUCUUCCGUAGAAUGAUUUGCUGCACCAUUUCGGCAGAAACUAGUUUGAGGAAGCGAGCUCUUUGUGCCUGUCACAUGACGUCCAGAAAAUGAACGAUAAUAAUUACGUCACUCCUGGUUUGAGCUCUCCUAAACAAUGACUUAAAUUAUCGUCUGAUACGAUUGAUUCUACAUGAUUUCCUUUAAAUGAAACCCUACGCUUUUGAACUAGGGUGUGGUAGUUCUACAUACUUAGGACUUAGGAUGUGAAAAUAGUUACAUUAGGUGGAAGUAUAUAAUUCCACUUUAUGCAAUGUUUAUGCAUUAAGACAUACUAAUUUGUUAUCUGCAUCUUUUAAAAUUUCUUAAUAUAUUGCAAUUCAUUGUAAGGUCUUUUAUUUGUUUUUUUAUUUGUUUUGUUUUUUUGUUUUGUUUUGUUUUUUUGUUUUUUUCUCUCUAUACACUUUCAAUAAUGCUUUUGUGUCAUGUAAGCUAUAUUAGAAUAAAAUCUUUUUUAGCCCUAUCUUUAUUUAAAAGUUUUGGCCAUUGGAUGGUGAAAUUUGAAUAAAAGACAACAUUCUGCUUGGUAAUUUGAAUUGGAGCAAUAGAAAUUUUUUUCUUUAACAAUUGUAUAUCUUCUUUUAUAAUUCAAAUUUUUAAUGUGUAUAUAGUUCUCUAAAUUAUUUUAUUAAGAUUGUAAUCAAGAUUUUGCAUUUUUUCAAAAAAUCCAAGUUUUGUGUUUUUAUUUUUAAAUGCUUUGAUAUGCUAUUGCCAUAUAUAAGUGCAUUUUUGUGUAAUUCAUGUUGUUUUGUUUUGUAAUUGCUUUAAAAUUAUUAAGUGAAGUAAUUUUAUAAGCUUUCUUCAAAAUAUGUAUGAUUUUUUUGUAAAGUAGAUGUUAUGGAUUAAAGUAUUCUAAAUAUUAGAGCAAUCACGAUCAAUUCCUUGAGCCUUGCUUUUUUAAAACUUCGAAUAAGUAUAAAGCCAACAAUCACUAUUUUUCAUUGUUUAAUCUAACUUGGCAUUUUUUUUAAAAUUUUUUUCCAAAGUCCUAAAAGUAAGAUAAAUAUCUAUAUUUGUAGACUUUAGAAUAUUAAAAUUUGAAUGUGUGACUAUGUGAAGAUAGCAGGUUUAAAUUAGGCAUUGUCUCAUCCUACUUUUGGCAUGUUCAGUUCUACAUGCUACAGAUCUUUGACCUGUUGGACCUUAAUUUUGUAAAGUUUAAUAGUAAUUUUACUUAAAAUUUGUGAAGUCUAUUAGAUUAAUAUCAUUUUUAUGCUAGGAAAAAAAACUAUGCAUGGAGUAAAGAUUAUUAAGGGAUUUAUGCUUAAGAUUUUUAGUUGGUAAUUUCUACACUUGGUAUAUUCUUCUCUAUAUUUUAGACCUCGUUGAAUAUUUUGAAUUAAAUAUUUUUAUCUAAUAUUCACUUAGUUCUUAUUUAUUUAUAAUUUUAGAAAGAUAUAUCAAUUAAAAUCUAUAUUGAUAUAUCAAUUGAAUAAAAUAUUUAAAAAGUGCUCUUCUUAGUAUAAAUGCCUUAAGAAUCUAUUAAAUUAUUAAGAUAUUAAAGGUUGUUUUUGAAUCAAUGAAGUUAAGCUUCCAAUGUUGUAUAUAUUGGCUAGCCGAUAAAUAAAAUAUUUCACUUCUUGUACUUAAGUAUUUGCUUCUCAAAUGGGGUUCUAAGCUAUAUUUUUAUUGAUUUUAUUUCUUAUAAGAAUCCAUUCUAAAUUAUUAUAAAAUAGACAAUGAAUGUUAUAAUUAUGUAGUUGAUAUCUAUACUUUGAUUUAAGAAGUUGAGCUUUAUGGUGCACCAAUACUUUAAUUUUUUUUUAAAUAUUUUCUAUAUUAAGAAUUUAGAAGCAAAAAUUAAGUUUAUAUCUAAACUAAAAGAAGUGCUCAGAAUUAUUUUCAUCUUACUUUUUUAAUCUAUAUCUUUUGAUAUUUUCUGGCCAAAUCCGGUUUAGAUUGUUAAAAAUAAUGUAUUUCUAAAAUUUGGCUUUAAUUAAUUUAAAACUAAAAUUAUCAUUAAACUUAUUUUUUUUUAUUAAUGGUUAAUUCAAAAUUAUUUUUUUAUCUUUUAAAAAUAUUGUUAAAGUAUUGACAUAUUGGUUAAUAAUGAAUUGAUCCUGGGUUCUUGAGAGCACUAAUUCUUUCAUAAGAAUUCAUUAGAAGAUCGUUUUAAGGUUGGAAUUAAGACUUCUCUUAAUGAAAUGAGAUAAAUAUGGUGACCUUUAAAAAUCUUGCUUAAUUGCUCUUUAAAUUUGAAAUUUAAAAAUAAAAAUAAAUAAAUAUUAACUUGAUCUAUUACUUUUAAAAAUAGAAGUUGUUUAGAUUAACAAGAUGAGAGCAAAAUCCAAAGGCUUUUGGAGACUUGAAAACAAAUCUUAAAUUUAUGCAACCACAUUUUUUGAUUAAAGCAAGCUUGAAGAGGAUAGGAUUUUGUUUUGAGGUUUUAAAUCAAUGUAAAGCUUUGUAGAUUAAAAUAAAUUAUCUAAAGGAUGUGAUAAAAAUAAGAAAAUUAUUUGAUCUGAAUUAAUAAAUUCUAACAAAAUAGGUUGAAUUUUCUAUAAGAAUACUUAAGAAAUAAUUUUACACUUAGAAUUAAAUAAGAUAAUGGAUUGAUAAUUUCUUAAGUAUCUUUUUAAUUCUUUAUAAAAUUUAAACCAAUGAGAUCUCGUAUAACUGGUUGUAAAAAAUAACUUCUAGUUAAUAAGUCUUUGAUAAAUUUUGAAUAAUUAUUUUGAUGGCUUUCCAAAAGCUCUGAUAUCUACUCAAUAUAAGUCAAAUAUCUUAUUUUUAAGUAAGGCUUUAAUUGUAUCAUGUAUUUGAAUAAAUGAAAGAAUUUAUUUUAUAAUAUGUUUAAUAAUCUUUAUUAUUUUUUUAGAAUGUAAGAAUUUUAAGCUUAGAGGAUUUGAAGUAUACUUAGGAAUCUCUAUCUUUUUUAUAAAGAUAGAAUGAUAAAUUAUUCCCAAUUUUUAUCAUUUUUUUAAUUCUUAUUUAUUUUUCUUAAUAAAAUUUCUAAGACUUUGGAUAUUUAUUCUAAAAUUGUUUUUAAAAGCUUAAUUUCUUUUUCAAAACAACACAUCUCAUGUACAUAAAUUUAAUUAUAGAUUCAAUUAUUUGACUACAUACUUUCUUAUGUUUAAAAAAAAUUAAAAAAAACUUCUUGUUCUAAAUAUUAUUUUUAUAUAAUAAUAUUUUGGAAUUUAAUAUGAAUUUUAGCAAUUAUUUUUUCUAAGAUUUUUUCUGAUUUUUUAAUAUUCUUUUAUUUUUUUUAUAAUAAAACUUGUUGAAUAUAAUAGUUUUUUCUAAAUUUUGUAAUAAAAGAUGUAUUUUCUUGUCUAUCUUAUAUAUCUAUGAUAGUUACUUUAUUAAUUUUUUUUAAAGGCACUUAGGAUUUUUUGCUUAUUAAUCUUGAAUUUAAGUGCAACUUAGAAUAGAGCUUCUUGAAGCUUCUUGAAGAAAUUUAGAAACAUAGCAUCUACCAAACUGAAAUAAGACAAUAGUUUCUAUAAGAUGUUGACACCUAGAGUACAAAAUCUGUAUAGAUAAAUUGUACUUAAGUACAUCUCAUUUUAUUUUAUUUUAAAAAAAUUAAUUAUAUUAUUAUAAAAUUAAAUAUAAUAUCUUAUAAUAUUACAAGGUUUGAUAAUCUUUCAAAAAUCAUUAAAAUUUGUAAUUAUAUUUAAUAUUUUCAGUUCUUAUGUAACUUUAUGUUUGUUACGAAGAUAUAAUUUUAGUGGUAUUAAUGAAAAAUAAUUAUAUUGAAAAUUAUAAGAGGAGGCAAAUUAUUACAUAUUGGGCAUAGAUCUUGGAUAAAAUUAAAUAGAAGAGAUAAUAAGCAAAAAAUGAUUAUGUAUUCAUACAAAUUAUUUUCUCUUACACUUGAUUUUAUACUUUAAAUUUCUAUUACAAAAAAAGUAGGCAUUUAGAAGACUUCGCAUCUUUCAUCUAAUCAAGUAUAUUAUUUAUAAAAGACAAAACAGCUAGUCUUGCUUCAUUUCCUUCUAGUCUACUACUUAUAUUGGUUUUGUUUAAGAAUUUAAAAUUAGGAUUCAAAAUUAAUAUGUUUCGGUCCGAUUCUUUAAAAAAUUCAUCAUGUAGAAUCUCAAGGAAUUUUAAAACAUGGCUUAUUAGCUCUAAUAUAGAGAGAUUGAUCUUAAUUAAUAUUGCCACAUGUAUAGUAAAAAAAAUCUACAAUUAAUUUUUUUAUGUUUUAAUUUUUAUUUAAUAGAUUAUUUAAUUAUUUUAUUUAUUUCUAUUCUUAAAAACCUAAUUAUUCAUACAAUAUAUGUUCAGCAUUUAGCUACUACUCUUAAAAGUAAUAUUAGAGAUUUUUUUUUCUAUCCACAUUUGAUAAGUAUAUUUAUAUUUAUAUUUAUUUUUUUAUAAUUUUAUAAUUUUUUUUAUUUUGAUUCAAAUCUCAUAAUAGAUAUUUAGAAAAUAUAAGAAAUUUUAAAUCAAUAAUUUGAAAUGUUUGAAUGGUGUUGUUCAAUGCAUCACUAUUAGAAAUCAAAUUGGCUUUACAAUUCAAAUCAUUAUUUUUUUUAGAAAUUUCAUUAAUUGUAACUAAAAGAAAAUAAUGGUUGUAUUGAGAAGAUGCUAUAAGCUAGUUAUCUUGUAUAGAGUUGCAUUUUCUAUGCAAGUGUAUAGUUACUUCCUCUCACUAUACUUAAGGCAUUGCUACCGUUGUUGUCAACAAAUGGUCAAGUUGCUCCAGCUUCCAAACAAGCUCCAAUGGAACCUGCUUAUUAACCUUGGCACCUUGCCUUAGAAAUUACUCUAUAAUUCAAUGGUUGGAAUUUGGAGUGGGAUCUUGGAGGAGCCAAUGUGAAGCAAGUAGGUGGCAUUUUUGUAUUCUAUGAAGGGUGCUUGAGAAUGCACUGGGCACCUAGCUAUGGACAAUAAAAUAGAAUUUGUAACAAGGAAUUCCUAAUAACUCUAAUAUAAUACUAAAAAAAUAUUUAAUUAAAUCUUAAUAAUGCUCAUCUAUCUUUAUUCAAAUCUAAAAGAAGUCUUAAGAAAAUUAUCAAAGAAAUAUAAAAACAAUUUAAAUUUACCUUUGAGAAAUAUGAAAUAAAAAAUUUCCAAAGAAAUAUCAAACAAAACUUGAAGAAAUAUUUAAAAUAAAAAUAUUAAAUGAAUUUUAAAUAAAUCUUAAACAAAUACUAAUCAAAUUCUAAUGAAAUUAUAAACUAAUCUUAACCAAAUCCUAAUCAAAUUUUAAAUUCUAACCAAAUCUUAAAUUGAACUUAAUAAAAUCUUAGUCAAAUCCUAAAUAAGUCCUAAUAAAACUUUAAACCAACCCUAAUCAAAUUUUAAUGAAAUUUUAAACUAAUCUUAACCAAAUUCUAAUAAAAUCCUAAACUAAUUCUAAUUAAAUUUUACUAAAAUCCUAACCAAAUUCUAAUCAAAUUCUAAUCAAAUUAUAAUUAAAUCUUAAAGAGAUCUUGAACAAAUCUUAAAAAAAUCCAAGAAAACUCAAAGUAAAUCCUAACCAAUUUUUAUAUCUAUUUUAAAAUCUCAAUAAAUACUAAUUAAAAUAUUGAUUUCAAUUCAAAUUUCACCCACAUUUCAAUUCACAAGGAUUUAAUAAGCACAAAAAUUUUUAGAAAAAUCAAACUCACUAAUUAAAAAAAAAACUUCUAAACCUCUCAAAAGUUGUCCACCCUCCUUCUCCAACCUAAAUGUUGAUCUUUUAGUAGUGAUUUCUCCUUGCUAAACCAUUUAAUUGCUUCAAAAUUUGGCUGGUGUAUAGAUUUCUAAGUCCAAAUUUCUAUCACUAAUUUUUUGCUUCAAUUGAAUUAGUGGAUUUUUUAAGAUCAUAAAAAUCCUUAUUGAUUCUAAAUUUCAAAACUCAAAGAUCCUAAUCUAAUAAAACUCUCAUAACCUUCGAUCUAAUUGUUUGAUUAACAUCAAAGUUUUUAAACAUAUUGAAGAUAAGCAAAAAGACAAAUUCAUAAAAUUUCAUUCUUAAACGUCCUACAACAUUCAUACAAUAUUCAAAAUUAUUAACUUCUUUUUAUUUUUCAAAAUCUAGAUCCAUUGAGUACAUCUCUCAAUUUCAAAAGCCCUAAAAAACUCAAUAUGUCUUUAAAUCACAUAAAACCAACUCUCAAAAUACCACUCACUAGUUUCUUCUAAAAUUUCACUCUUCAAUUAAUCAAAGAAUUCUAGAAUUACUGUAAGUAUAUGGCUCAAAGUUUGAUUUUGAUCCUAAUUUACAAUUGGUCCUCUUUGGAUAUCAAUUCUUAGUAUUUUAGAAUAAAUUUUGCUAAAACCUAUUCUUAACACUCUUCUAAAGAUGUAAAUAUGAUUUGUUUUCUUUUAUUAAUGGCUUUACAAAGUAAAUUAAAGCAUCUUUUUCAAGAAGGCAAUAUUAAUACUUAUUAAUUUUUACUACCUUUUAUCUAUUAAUUAUAUUCCUAAGAUAAUUUUCUAAAAUAUUUUUAUUUAAACUCUUCUAUAAUAUAAUCUUUUCUUUCUUCUUUCAUGUAAUGGCCAUAUUACAACUCAUCAAUGUUGGACCAUGAGCCUAUGAUAUCCAUCCCUUAGCUGCCUCUAUUUGUGCCAAUGGAUGGUGAUGUCCUUACUUAUGUUGAUGUACUAGACUAUUGCAUCUAUGCCUAUAUUAUUUUUGUAUCCUCUUCAAUAUCUAAAAUGUUAUCAUGUAUAGUUACCAUAUAUGAUGCUAUUCUAUUAUGAUACAUUACUUUAGAAGUGCUAAGUGUCAUUGUUAGUAUUAAUAUUAUGUUUAUUAAGUAUUUUUAUAUACUUAUCACUUUUUAAUAUCUAAUAUUAUUAGAUAUAUUAAUUAAGACAAUCUAAUACAAUCAAAUCCCUAUCAAUUAAAUUCUAAUUUUAUUUAAAUACUCUACUAUUAAUAUCUUAUAAUCUUUUUUUAUUAUUGUAUAGUAUAAAACCUUAUGUUAAUGGCUUUAAUAAUCAACUUUAGAGUAAUUAAAAACAUAUAAAUAAUUUAAUACUUAAUAUUAUUAUUAUUCUAAGUGAAGAUUAACAAAUUCUAAAUCUAGAUGAGCUAAGGGUGUUUGGACCUCAUAGCUCUUAGUCUCUUAGUACUAUAUUAUUGCAGCAAAAAAGCCAACAAUCUUAAGAAUCAUAUUUAUAUAUAUAUAUAUAUAUAUAUAUUCUUAACACUCAAUUUUAAAUUUUAAACGAAAAACUAUUUAUUUUCUAGUAUAUAAAAAAGAAAAUAACAUUUAUGGUGAAUUGUUUUAUUUGAGCAAUGAAAAAAAAUGUUCAAUUUCUAAAUGAUUUUGUACAUUUAUGUGGUUCUAUUAUCUUUAGACAAAAAUAAAAAAGUAAAGGGAUGAUUUUCAGAUUGAUUUAUUUAUUAUUAAUUUAUUCAAGAUAAUCAAUCACAAUUUAAUAAACAUUUGUACUGCUAACAUGCGGCAUUCUGGAAUAAAUUCUUGUUUAUUUAAAACACAAAUGGAUUGAGAAGUAUGUAUAGUGGAGAAAUGUUUUACAAAAAAAUACAAAUGAAGCUAUCAAGUAAUUUGUAAAAGACUGUGCACAGUUACAUAAGAUUAUCAUUUAUUAUUAAAAUUCAGUAAAAAAUUACUAUAAAAUACAUCACACCCAAGACAUCUCUUGGAGAACAAAAAAUAUACAAAAGCUUAAAAAAAGAUAAGAAUUGGAAAUACAACACCUAUAUUUUCUACAAUUACUAGGAGAUUUAGAUUUGAAUUGCUAAAUUAUAAUUUUUAUUUGGAUUAUUUUUGUUCCAAUUUUAAUUUUUUUAAUAAAAACUUUAAUUUAGAUAUUUACAAUUAUAUUAUUCCUUGUUUACUUGGUCCAACAAUUACAAGAGAAUUGCUACAACUUUGAAUAUUUUAAAUGAAUUGGCACACUUAAGAAUCAAUGCAUGCAUCUUUACUUAAGUUUGCUUUGUUUUAUAACAUGUAAAGCCCAAGAGUAUAAAAUACAUAUAAUGCAUGAGUAACCUAAGAUGAUAAAAUUUCAAAUACAUGCUCAUAGGAAGUAUCUCACAUCUUUGAAUUGCUGUAACACACAAAUUUAAAUGAAAAUAAAAUCAUGAUUAUUUUACACUUAUGAAUAGUAUGAGAUCCAUUUAACUUUUUUUUAAAAAAAAAUCCUAGAACUUCUCAUUUACACUCUCUUUUUACCUUUCUCCAUUUAUUAAAAAAAUGUAUAUUUUCAUUUAUCUUAUUUCUACAAAAACACAAUUAUUCUCCAAUCCAAUUCAAAGUAGAACAAUAUUGAUCUAGAAUGACCUUAAAUGACUUAAAAAAUGCUAUCCCCACACAAUGCAAAGGAAUACUAAAUGUAAAGACUGACACCUCAAAUCGCAGCUGUGAAAUGUCAGCCUUGGUUUAUCCUUGUUGUUUAAAAAAAAAGAAAAGGAAAAUAGGAAAAAAAGAAAAUGAUAGAAAAAGACAACAAAUGGAAUCAGGAACAAGAUAGAUAUUCUGAAAAGCUGGAGCAGUGAAGUAAAGUCACUUUUGUGCUUCUUUCAACUUUUCACUAACACAGAAGCAAGUUUUGUUUUACCAAUACACAAAGCUAAGUCUUACUUUAAUAUCAACUUAUGUCAACCAUCCCUACCAUUUUGUUUUUUUCUCCAAACCCAUCUCUUAUAUAAAAUAGUUCAAGGGAUAAACCAAUACAAUAAACCAAAGGAGACAAAAAACCAUAUGUGAUUGGCUGCAUAUCUCAUUGUUUUCAUCGAAAGUGAAGCAAUUACUCAACUUUUGAUGAAAUAGAGAUCAAAAUCUACAUGAUGUUAUUGCAGAUUGCCGAGAUUAGCAUUGCAAGAUCACUAGACAUAGAGUUUGAAAGCAGCACAAUGUGGAACAACAUAGAACAUCGUAAAACAACAUGCAACAUGGAGUUUCACAUCAUGCAAAGCUUCAAACAAAAAAUUAAUUUACAACACAUAAUUUACAAUGUUUUUUUUAGUUGCCAAUGGCACAAGUUUCCACUAGUUACUUAUAAAUUAGGUGCAUGUGUGUUUCAACAUUCACUCUAUAUACUCUACUUAUUGUAUUCAUCAUCCCAUCCAUUUUACCCAAUUUUACACGUCCAUUGAUAACACGAACUUGUUUCAACACCAAUUAUCAUUUUUUUGCACAUCAGAGCGGAAUAUUUCAGGGGAUCUCGUUUGGACACGUCAAUCGAGACCUGAUUUGAGGAUGUGGUUGUGAUUGCGUUCACACUGCGGAGAGUGACGUCGGGUGCGUUGGCGGGGUCUGUGGUCGGUCUUCUUCUUCUUCGGCAUCAGAGAAAAGCAUUCAGUCUGUCUGUCUGUCUUGCUUAGCGGACUUUACUCCUCGUAGAUCUCUGACUGUGCUUACGGAAUACUUCAAUGCCAUCUAAAGCAGUUGGACAUAAGAAAUAAAAAUCCAUGUCUGCGUUGAUUGAUCACUUUUAGCUCAUUCGGAUAACAGGAAUAAUGUCGAGGGAGGGAGAGAGAUUCGCCAUGAAGUAACGGUGAAUCGGUCAUGGAGUUACGCAACGUGCUUCAAGUGCAUGCGCGGUACCUGGGAGCAGAGAAUCGGUUGAUACUAAGAAAUUUACCGCGGGGAAGAUCUGAGUGGCUGAGGAGUUUGGUGGUUUGUUGUCGCUGUCAGUCUAGGUGAACGGAAGAUGGAUAUGGAGCAGGGUGAAAUGUAGCCGCAGGUUGGAUCUGAUUCUGGUAGCAGAGCUUGAAGGUUCUGAGGCAAUGGCGGGGGACGGACAAUCGUGCGUGAGGGUUGUCGGUCGGAAGUAAGAUUGCGUCGCUGGUGUCUCACGAAUUUGGUGCGCUGAGGCUCAAGAUUGGAGCAGGUAGGUUGAUUUGGUGUGGUCUGGAUUGUUUCUGGGUGAGAGCCUGGUUUUGAUUAGGAAAUUUCCACCUCUGCGCUCUCCUCAUUGAAUGCGUUGUGCUGAAAGCGUACGUGAUGCGCGUCGUGCUUCGGGUGGAUCCUGGUAGUGAGCACUGUUUGAGCUUAUUCAAUGCGCAGCGGUAGAGAUCUCAGUGGUUGAUUUAUUUAUUAGUUUAGUUGUUUUUGUUUCUGUUUAUUGUUUGGCACUUGCAUUGUGUUGGGUGCAUCGAGGUGCAACUAGGAUUUAGAUUAGGAAUGAAGCUAACAUUCAUUGAGCUAAGCUGCCGUCAUUGUGUGAGACGUAUUUGAGACAAUUCAAGGUGAGUGAGUGAUUCGAGUGUGCGUCACAAUGAAUCAAAGGGCAAUUUGUCUUGUCUUCCUCACUCUAAGAGAGGUUAUGUAAUGUAGCAAGUGAGUGGUUGGAUAGGUUUUAUGAUGGUAACGGAUAUGGCUAGAAGUUUGAAAACAUAACGCUUGUACAGUUUCUUUGCCCGUUUUGUCUUCUGUCGAUUACGUCAAGCCUCUUUUACUCAGGGCCAGAGUGCAGAGAAGGGCAUCCUAGGAAAUUGUACCAAUUGCCAAUUAUGUUAGUGAAAGAAGUGGUGUAUCAAAAGCUUCAUGCAUCAACCAUCUCCAUAGUUGUUGAAUGCAUAAGCCUUGAAUCCCAAGGAAACUUCAUUCCGUUAUUUAACCAUGCAGUAUGAAUUAUGUGGAUCAAUCCAACGAAGUUGGGUUUACCUCAUCCAAGCACCUACGCUUAGAUUUGUGUGUAGUGAUUGAACUUUGAGUGUUGUUGGUGUGUUUUGCAGUAAAGUGUGAGCUUUGGAUUCUAAUUUUUGAAGAAGUACAAUCCACUUUUCUAUUUAAGAAAGGGAGAAUCGUGCGUGAAGGUGGUAGAGUCCAGUGAUUGUGCACCUAAAAGGGUCGGCUCAGUGUUCUUGUUCAAUCUUUUCUCUGUUUUGGCAUUGGAGCGAGAUUUUCACUGAUUUAUUCGUCUCAAACGGAAGCGUCGCAAUAUGGGUCUCACUAAUGAAGCAUUGAACUUAACAAGUUCUCAGAAAAAGACUGUGGCCGUCAUUAUGAUGGGAGGUCCUACUAAAGGUAUGUCUGCUUACCUUAUUCAUAGGUGUUUGCAAAGAUUGUUUUAGGUCUGUAUCAGCAAUCUGAGCGCAAUCAAGCACUAGAUUCUUCGAGUACGUAGACUCUUUUGUUACUAGAAUAGUCCUGCUGUCGAGAAGUGAUAGUCUCAGUGUAAAUGCAAUGUGUUUUCGGUGAAGUAAGUAACCUUCAUAUUCGAUUAAUUUAGAACGUACUUAUUGGGUUGUAAUAUUCGAAUGAUUUGUAUUGAUAUCUUAGUUGUGAGUAUGUAGGUACUCGCUUCCGGCCUCUCUCCUUCAACGUGGCCAAGCCUUUGUUUCCCUUGGCGGGCCAGCCUAUGGUUCACCACCCAAUUCUUGCUUGCAAAAAGGUACGCACUUGAACUUUGGUAUCUUGAUUUGAGAAGUUGAGGAAUGCCGUAUGAUUUUUAUACGAUUUGAGGUUCAUGGCAAGGUACCUGUUGACUUAUUGUCAUAUGAGUGCGGCAAAACAAGCAGAUGUUUCGAUUGAUGCUAUCUAUUUAAAUGUCUGGAUUAGAAGAACCGUAUAAAACAGAUCAGAUGUAACCACUGAGGCAUUGUCCUUGUAAGUUAAUAUGUUAACUCUACCCUUCCUAUUCUCACAACAAUAUAAAGUUUUACUCUUAAGAAGAUCGUGAACUCUUAAGACUAACUGUUAACCUUAGGAAAUUGUUGUGUUUUAACAAUUACCCGUCGGCAAAGGUCUAAUUGUAUUUGAUUGCACGUUGCAGAUAUUGGACUUGGCACAGGUGUUUCUUAUUGGAUUUUAUGAGGAGAAAGAAUUUUCUCUCUAUAUAUCUGCACUUUCAAACGACCUUAAAGUUCCUGUGAGGUGAGCUAAUACAUCAAUGUGGAGCACUAAUGCUCUUUAAUUGCAAAUUCAUUACUUAAAUAAUAAUAAUAAUAAUAAUAAUAAUAACAAUAAGGAAAAUUUAAAUCUGGUAUUUUAGUGAUCUAUUUGCUCUUUACUCGUAACUUAGCGUGUGGAGUUGGCUGCAGGUAUUUGCGUGAAGACAAACCUCAUGGAUCUGCUGGCGGCCUGUACAAUUUCCAGGACCUCCUCUUGGAAGAUGACCCUGUAAGCCCUGGUUUUUUGUAUCACUGUGUGUCUACAGAGCAUCUUUAACGUGUUUCCAUUUAGGUUCUUGUGAAGGCAAUAUCACGCGUUUGUGAAAUGAUCAUGUUUUAACCAUUAUUUUUUAAUCAAGAGGAUUCAUCUUUGACAUCAAUUCAUCGAAGUAAUGCCGCAGGCAUGUUCAUCUCGAAGUUCGGAAAAUCACACCUCUUGAAAAUUAGCAACACUUGAAUAUUUCUGACCUUGAUAUAAUUCUGGCAGGAUAAUACUGAUAUCUGGUCUCGUUUUUGUUCUGUGCAGACUGAUAUUGUUGUAUUGAACUGCGAUGUAUGCUGCAGCUUUCCUUUGACAAAAAUGCUUGGUAAGCUGGUUGCAAGCAAAUCUAUUAACAAAGUUAUUCACUUUCUAACUUCUUCAGAUCCAUUCACUUUGACGUGGUAGUCUGGAGGUCGAGCGACUUUUGUAAGCAUUGCAGAAGCUUCUCAUGUUGUAUAACACUUGUAGCCCUGCUACUUCUUUGGCAGUGAGUAGAUGUCAUUGAUAACAAUCUCCCCUGCUCACUGAUGUGAUCCACGUAUGUCUGCAGAGGCUCACAGAAACCAUGGGGGUAUUGGCACGCUGUUAGUCAAGAAGGUGUUUUUUUUAAUCCUUAAUAAAUACCUUUGGAUCUUUCUAUCUAAGAAUUUGAAUAUAUCCAAGUAAAUCAUUCUGCACUCGAAAAGAUUGAACAUGAAAGAUUUAUCAAAUGUGUCUUUUGUCUAUAUCCGUCUUUCAUACCUGACGUCAUCUUCUGUGUUUGUUAUUCGUUCGUCUUGUCAGAAGCGCUCUAUUAUUUUUUUGCCGUUGCUGAAUCCAGAAUAGGUGAAUUUUGAUAGUUUUUCUGGAGAAAUACGUGGUCUGCAGGUUUCUAAAGAAGUGGCAAGCGAAUACGGGGAGUUGGUGGCCGAUCCUAAAACUGGCGAGUUACUUCAUUAUGCCGAGAAGCCAGAGACGUUCGUAAGCUUCUGAAUCUAGAAAUUUUAGAAUUAAUACUUUUGAAAAAUUUAAACUGCUUUUAAAACCUUGUUGUAUGGAUCUCUUCAAAAGUUUUCUCUUGUGUGUCUUUAACCACUUUAAUUCUAAUAAUGUUUUUAGAACCUAAUUGAUAUUUCUGCAUUUCCGUAGUGUAUUCAGAGGACAAUCAAAAAGCCACCAGCGAGGUUUUUAAAUCAUCGCAUGAUUUCCUUGACAUUGUGGUUGUUCCACAGGUGAGUGACUUCAUCAAUUGUGGAGUUUAUAUAUUCACACCAGAGAUCUUUAAAGCCAUCGGAGACGUCACAUCAAGUAAGCAUGAAUCUUUGAGUUUCUCGGUUCUCUUUUCUCUUCGUGGGUUUUCUCCUCAUGUACACGAACCUCGUUGGUUAACAUGCAAGCUAUUUUGGAAUCAUCAUGAGUCAGUUUUAUCAAUGAUGAGAGCUUCUGUAAGAAGCUCUUAUGAUAAAUAUGGUUGCAGCCAAACCCUCUAACUCACGUUUUGACUGAACUUAAUCACUUAACAUGUAAGAUAUCUUGCUUUCUUGUCAACUGAGUUGCUCAUACUGGGAAAAUGUUUUUAUUGCCUGAAACCUCCUAUUUGUCGGCAAAGUUAAAAAUUGCAAUAAUACUUGCAGCAAGUCUGAGUCACACGACAAGUUUCGAGCUCCGUCCUACUCCGACUAACAAUAGGUGAGUUUCUUUCUGACAUUGUAGAGGAUUUUUUUUCCUGCAUCAAUUGGUACGAAUAGACUGAAGAAAAAUUUUCUUGAAUUUUGUUCGCCCUGUAUGGGACGAAGUCUGACUACCAUGAAUGUUUUUUCUGGGGAUCAUCUCAAGAGACUGGAUGACGGAAUUUAUUUUGUUGAAACGAUAAUACUGGAACAACAUUUUUGUUCAUUGAUGUUUUUAAUGUGCACUUUUUAACAUAAACCAUGGAAGUUUUCCAGACUUAUGCAAGCUGAUUUUAUGAGGCUUGAUCAAGAUAUCCUUACCCCACUUGCUGGCAAGAAGAAACUCUACACCUUUGAAACCAAUGAUUUUUGGGAGCAGAUUAAAACACCAGGGUGAGUUAUGGAUCUUGCAGUACUCUCUUUAUUACAUGCUUCACUGUGGAAAUUUGUGAAAUUUUGUUGUACCUUCUCCAGAUCCUUUAAUGUUCCAGCUUCUUGGGGACUCAUCCGUCAUUGUAGGGAUGUUAUUCAUUGACUUUAUGUGGAAGAACCCUGUGCAAAUGUCGCCGAAGUAAUUGUUUUUUCAAAUGCUGACCUCAUCUAAAAUUCAACACGUUCAUGUGCUUUUGUGUUGGUCUUUUGGGCUCCCAAAACUAUAGCUCCCAGGCACAUUACUUGUUGCCUUGUUCUGAUUUGUUUGUUUAACGAUACUAUUCACUUUUCUACUAGUUCUUCUUUUGAUUCAAGCUUUUUGUUUUGAGAUCAUGAUGGAUCUUAGUUACUGAUAAUGAAAGGAAUUCAUUUCAGUAUGUCUCUCCGGUGCUCGUCUCUCUACUUAGCACAGUACAGAGCGACUCAGCCUGAGCUUUUGACUUCUGGAGAGGGCCAAAAGUCUCCUACAAUAAUAGGAGACGUUUUCAUUCAUAGGUCUGCCAAAGUUCAUCCAACUGCUAAGGUAAAGGUUCAUUUCCAAUUGGCAACAUGGGUGUGGUUGAAAAUUCAAGUCGGUGAUACUCGUCAACUCCCCGUUUUCUAUGGGUGGUUUGCUAUUAUGUUAGUAAUUUACGCCCUUGCUGGAUCUUCCGCUGUACUAAAGCCUGACUGGCUUAACUGCUGGAUCGUCUGCUUGGUGUUUAUCACCGGGCUUUCAUGAUGAUUUUCUGAUGAAUUGUGGGAUGGUUGUUGACAGCUGGGACCCAAUGUCUCUAUAUCUGCCAAUGCUCGCAUAGGCCCUGGUGUUCGGCUCGUAGGGUGCAUCAUCCUUGAUGAUGUUGAAAUCAAGGUUCGUAUUUCGUCUUUUACUAAAAACACUACAUCGAGACUAUUCUCGUGUCUGUUUAGUGCAGUUCAAUGAAAGUCUUGAAAUCGCUUUGCCAUCACUCUUGGGAUCUGCUUUCAUGACAAUGUUUAUGGACUUCCUCUCGAGGCAAUCACUAACAAUAUGCAUUUUAUUGCUGUGAAAUUCCAACUUGAUCGUUAGUGUGACGAAUACCUCACACGGUAUGUUAGUAGAAGUGCAAGGCCCACUGGUUUGAUGCACGUGUAUGUCAUCUUAGCUUCGCACAUCACUCAGCAUUCUGAUAUGUUUUGAGACAAAUAUUCCAGGAAAAUGCUGUUGUGAUGAACUCCAUAGUUGGCUGGAAGUCUUCGUUGGGAAAAUGGGCUCGAGUUCAGGUUAACUUCAACCUAAUUUUGAUAAUCCGUCUCAAGUAGAAUCUAAAUUCGUCGUCCUAAUCGUGCAACUAAUAAGGCAUGAGGAAUAUCGUUACUUGACGUUUUACGCCAGUGUACUCAGCAAGUUUUGUUUUUAUUUGAAUGUAACUUUUUUCGGAUCAUUUGGUUGUCUGAUUGUUGUAUGCAGGGAGGAGGUGAUUACAAUUCCAAGUUGGGCAUCACUAUUCUUGGUUCGUUUUGCAUAUCCAACUUGACAGGCCUUUUCAUUAGUUGAUUAAUUGAUUUCCAUAGGUUUGGUUUCACACUUGACUCAUUCAUCAACUGGAGAUUUCGUUGUGAUACAUGUGGAAGAUUUGUGGCAUCCUUUUGUGAUCAUCUUCUAGCUUCUACCAUCUUUGCAGUCCUCGUUUGCAAAGUUGCUGAAUUUACUCGAAUGUAUUAUUGAUUUGAAGGAAUUUUGUUAUCUACAGGAGAAGACGUGGCCGUUGAGGAUGAGGUUGUUGUCGUUAAUUGCAUUGUCCUACCUCACAAGACUCUCAACAUCAGCGUCCAUGAUGAGAUCAUUUUGUAAUUGCAGCUGAGGGUUUUGUCAGGAGUCUUAAUAGCUUGAGGUAGUUCACUUAUUAAUCUAUAUAUUGGCUUUGCCAGGAUAAUUUUGCAUUCUUGUAUAUUUGUUAUUAGCUUGGAGGAGGUCAAUAUAGCAGUUUUGCUUGUAAGACUAUUAUUUAGUGCAGAAUAUAUCAAUGUAUUUCAAAUAAGAGGUCAUUUCAUAAAUUCAAGUUGUGCUUAUCUUCGAGGUAGUUGAUGUGAAUAAAUUUGUGUUUCUGUAAUAGAAUGAUAUCUAAUUUUGGAUGCAAAUUUUGCAUGAGAUCCCAUAUUUCUUUGCAUUUUUUUUAUGCCUUUUAGUCCUUUUCCAAAUACUAGACAUUAUAUAAGGCCACAAUUAGGCCGCUAAUCAUGUAUUAUAUUUGUUUUUUCCACCUCUAGUUUUUGCUUAAAGAAAGCAAAGAAGAUCAAAUAUGAUUUCAUAUUGAAAUCUUCCUAGUGUAAACUAUUGAAUUCUUCUUUCUAAGCUAUGUGUGUUAUUUCUUUUACACCUUCUAAUAUAGGAUCUUGAUAGUUGUUGGCUAUAAAGGACAAUUACUUCAAGUACUUAUUAUAAUGUGUUUGAUCAUUAUGAGUUGAUUGUCAAAGGAGAUUAUGGCCAUCUAAUUGCAAAUUGGAGUGGUGUUUAUAGUUUUCUAUUUUGGUUGCUAGAGUAUAUUUGUCCAAAGUCUCAAGAAAUUAGAUCCGUUAUUUCUCUUAGUAAUUUCCACUUGUAGAAUUGAUUAUGUGCAUUUGCAUUGUGGUUGUUAUCUAGUCAUAUUUCUUGAGUGCAUGUUGCAACUGCAAUGUACAUAAGAAAACAUCACUGAUCUUAUACACAAGUGUUUCCAAGGAACAAUCAUAGUUGGCUCUUAUUAGCACCAAAGUGAUGUGCCCUUGUAAUGGCUUCUCUUAUUGAUAUUCAAUUCUUAAUGCCAACUAGGAUUGGAGGUGUAUUAAUGUAGAGUUGUAAGAAAUGAUCUCUUCUAGUUAAUUAAGUUUUUUGUCUCUUAGGAUUAUUUUGUUGCUUUUUUCUAUCCAUAUAAAUUGCAUUCCUUGGGACAUUGGGGUGGGUGUUUUGUAAGAGUCGUGCUUGUUAUUCUUCAAGAUUUCUUCAUCUCCACUAUUUAGUUUGGGUGGAUUGAGAUUAAUUGCUAUUGAAUUCUCUGAAUUAGUAGAUUUGCUAUAUGGUCGUUUUUUAUCUUCUUUCCAAUUGAGUGUAUAGUACUUUGCAUGAUGUUUGGUACUUUAGCAUCUAUUGCAUUGUAUUAGUAAGCCACUAUAUUUGAUAGUGUGUUUUUUUUUGGCUCCUAAAAAAUUAAAUAAUACUAUUAAGUGGAAGAGUUUUGUAAUGUCAUUGACUAGAUGUAGACUCUAGGUCUUGUAACUUUAUUUUUGUAAGUUUUGUAGAAUCUAUGGCAAUCACCUCUCCAAUGCUACUAAAUGCUUCCAUAAAAAAUUGUAGAGUACAAAAUAAGAGUUAGAGUUUCCUAAAUUGAAUCUAAAUUGGGUAUGUAGUAUGAUAAGAGAUUAAUAAAGAUUUGGGAUCAAAGUCAACUUGCCAAAUAGUAAAAAAAAAUCUUAGUUAUUGAAUUUGUAUUGUUUGGAUAAUAUUUGUAUUGUGCCAUGUUCAUUAGUAAAUUGUACCUUAAAGCAACUUCUUCUAAGUAUUAUAGUUGAAGAAUACAAGUUGUAAAGGACAUGGAUAAUCCAUUCAUGUAAUAUCCUUGGUUUUAGAUUUCUCUUCAAGUAUCCUACUAAGAUAUGCCUCUCUUCAUGUAUGGUUUAUUCUUGCAAUUAUUACAUUGUGCUUACGCUAAGGUUAACUUUGAUUAUAUUGUCUUUAAGGUAUGAUUGUGAUAUCUUUGAUUCUACUUGCAUGGGUGUGUUUGGAAUACAAAGAAUUGAUGUGUUGAUUUCAAAUGCUUGUAUCAACAUUUCUACUUUUGGUUUCAUUUGUUAUCCAAGCCUUAGGAGCUUAUCUACCUCUAUGUACUGGUAUGAUAAUCUGAGUUGAGAAUUAGAUUGAAUAAAGUCUUUUGCACCAUCCUAUUUUGUUUGUAUAAAUGUCUUAGGAGUUUCUAUUGUGUAAUGUGUCAAUGCUAAUAUCUUAUGCAAUAAUGUUCUCAUAUAUGAUGGUUGGAUUGUCUAUAGUGUGUUGGAUUGGUUUUGUCAGUAUGGCUCAAGUUAUCUAUCCUAUCUGGUUGAUUGGGGUUUUGAUUUUGAUAAAAGAUAUGAGAAGGUGAUGCAAUUCUAAUAUUCCUUUAAUUGAUGAGAUAGUUCUCUUUUGUCUCUAUUGGAAGUGUACCUCCAUUGUCUUUUUGCAAUAAUAUGUCUUGCUCGUAUUGUAGUUGCAUCGGCCGACACUCUCCCUCCAAUGGAAAAUAGAGAGAUUAAAUCUCAAAGCUCCCUUUAGAGUGUCUUUCCUCCAAAUUGAGGCUUUUAAAGUUAUCAAAACUUAUUUGAGUUUCUUAGAUUGAGUCUACGAAUAGAGGGCUUACUUGUGAAGUUAUAUGGAGAAUUGUUGUUGUGUAUGGUUCCUUUGCCAACUCCAUCUUACUCCCUUGUCUUAUAUGUGUUGAUGCCAUAACUUGUGCCUUGCUUCAUAAUAUGUAUGCUAUUUCUUUUGGAGCACUCUAAGUCUAGCCUUUCUAUGCCCUCUAUCUACUUUCCUCUCCAUUCCUAAUGUUGCACUUUGUUUCUCUACAAUGGACCCUAUUGAAUCUGGAAUUAGAAAUUCCUAAAUCACUCUAAUCCUUCCAAUUAUAUAUUUGCUCAAUGGUUGGGCAUAUUAUAAAAUACAGAUUUGUAUUUCCUACUCCCUAAUCUAUUAGCAAAUUGUUGUGUUGCAAUCUCCUAGAGUGUUGCAGUGCUUCUCCAACUAUUUUCAAACUAUUAAGCUCACAAAUCACUCAAAAAACAAACAUUUUGAUAAUUUCAGAUUGUUAAGGUGCGGCUCCAGAUUUCAUGGAGCCUCACCACUACAUUGCUCUAUCACUCUACGCUCUACCAACUGAGCUAGGUCAGUUGGGUUGUACUGUUCACCUAGCCAAAGAUAUAAGUAUGAUCACUAAACUUUCACAUUGAAAGGUUUCUUUUCCCCUUCGUUACUUGCUUGUGACAUCAAAAAUUUGGAUCAUCGUUUGCUUAUCAAUUUUGUGGUCCUUUCUGUUCUAUUUACCAAAAACCAAUCAAAUUCCAUACUUCAAAUAAAACUACUGCACUAGUUACACUCUGCACAUUAAUUACAAAACCCAAAAAGGUGGAAACAAUUAUUCCACAGUACAACAGACUUAUUCAAACCCACAUUUUAUGUUUGAAAACAAGUUAUAUAAAUUUUAGCACAUCAAUUCACAUGAUGUAUGUAUUCCAAUGUAUACCUCAUGUUUAUAUAAUAUCUCACAUUCAGCAUACAUUUUCUAAUCUAUUGCUAUGAAGUGCUUCCAUUUCAAUACCAAGUGAUAUGUUACAAGUAAUCACAUCAUUUGUGUCCAAUUGUUUUGUCUUUUUCUUCUUCGUCUUCUUCUUUUUUUCUUUCUUGGUUUUAAAAACUUUAAUUUCUUGGUACCUUUUUAAAAAACAUGAUCAAGUCAAUGAGUCAUAUUAAUCUACUUUUGCAGACUUAAAACUUAAGUAAAAGAAAAGUAAUUUAGUGCUUUUGCUGAAAACACGUUCUUAACUCCUCUUCUGCCUUCAUCUUCCCGUGAGCAAUGGUUAGUGGAUUUCCAAAUGAAGCAAACAAACACGUACUUGUCCACAUCCCUUGGACAAAUCAGACAACACACUUUCCUCGUUUAAUUAAAUUAACGACUCAGCUACAAAAAAUUGCAGUGCACGCCUUGGUAAGUGAGAUGGUAAACAGGCAUACUUAAAACAGAAGGUAGAGGUCAACACUGAUAACAAGGCAGAGGGCUUGUUCUGGACACGUCCUCCCGAGAGCAACAGAGCACCACAUGUAGUCGAAGAAGCAUGUGUGAGGUUAUCAUUUUAAGACAACCACUAGACCCUCUGACCACAUCAAAAAUAGGUUAAUACUUACAUUUGGGAGAAUUUGGUGUGAAGACCUGCCUCAACACUCUUAGCUUCCCAAAUAAACUCUGAUUUCACAAGAUGCGGAGUUUCAGCAUGGAGAUGGAGUCUCAAGAAACUUGCCAACUAUAAUAUAGAUAUUCUCUUGGCAGGCCAAGAAACAAGUGGUCCUAGCCACAGUUCUGGUAGUUGAAUUUCUAAUUUACGACUUUACAAGUUAUAUCCCUAACAGAUUCAAAACACUUCGUAUAAUGAUAUCGUAACGACCCACGGGUAGCUGCACUUGACAGAUCUUACACUGUACAUCUCAGAAUCUACCAGAAGACACUACUCUCCCAAUUCCCACAAGGUGGCACGUGAGUUUAACCAGAACCGAAGACAAACUUCUCCUUCUGCACCAAAAUGCAAUCUUGUCACGCUGAUCAUUUGUGCUCGACUCUUGUAGUCGUAGUGACAGUACGUAUCUACCUCCAAGUGUAGCUACCGCCACGAGGAGUCUGCAAUCAUGAUGUCGAUACGAGUAACCCGAGCAUUUCCGGUACUUGCAAAACAUUAACCACCCCAACCUGAGCAUCCUGUUCCCCACUAACCCUGCAAGAAACUUUUGCUUACCUAUCCAGGAGCUAGGGUCUGGUCUCUGUGAACGGAAACUUAUCUGCCAUUUCGGAUUGAUCUGCUUUUUGUUCAUUAUUCCAGUACAUUAAGCAACCUAGCAUUUCAUACGUAUUAGGGCUGCUGAUCCCCAAGACCACCACUCAAUCCGGCACUCAAUUCAGCACUCAAUCCUCCCAAAUUUCCAAGAGCACUCACAGCUUGCCCUAAAUCUCCACCACCCAUUCCUCUAGAGCCGAUGGUUCGUAAACACUCAGAAACUUGACCAAGGGCCACAAUCAAACUGGUAGCAAUGCGUUCGUUUGCUUCAAGUUGCCGCUCAAGUCGACGAUCCUUGCGUUCUUCACUUUCUCUGAUAGCCCGUUCUAAUCCAGCCAUGCCCUCCACAAACUCAGUCCAUCUUCUGCACCAGAAAAUUAACAAGUGCUUAAAAGAACGAGAACUCCAAAACCAAGCACUCCAUGCAAGCAUUAAACACAUGCAAACACAAAUAUGCACUUGUAAAACUGGCAAAACAUUAUAUGGUAUUCUUGUUAGUCUUGCAAUGUUUGUGACAAGUUUCUCCUAUUCGCUAACACGAAAAUGAUAAUGCAAUGUAUUCACAAAGCUCGCUCGGCAAAAUCAAUACAUAAAAUCCCUACUGUGACAAUAACUUCCCAAAAUUAGCUACAAUCAAGCUGGAAACUUGAGACCCAACAUAAGCAACAGGUUCAUCAGUUUCAGUGUUGUGAACACUACGUACCUGCCUCCUGGAUUGGAAUUGCUGGAAGGAAAACUGCCACUAUCCUCACUGUCAAAUCCAUUCCUACCAGCUUCAUCACGUUCGUGAUCUUGAUCUCCACGCUCCUGACCUAUUAAAAAAGCAUAUAAUUCACUCACAAAAUUAACAACAAAGCUUCAGGUUACACUGCGGACAUUAAAAAGGUCCAGAGCUCCAAUUAUUUGAAGCCAGCACAGAAUGUUUAGAACCGUGACUUUUACGCAAAAUUUGAAGUUAUUGUGAAUGACUGAUUUAAUGUCCUCGGCUUAAGAAAAGAAAAAAUGUUGAUGCAUAAAAAUAGACCAUACAACGAAACAAAGUGUCUGAUCCACUAUGCAGCAUGGCUCGCCAAAAACUAUUCCCUCAUGUAAGUAGAAAAGAGAAUAGAAACAAUCACCUUUCCAUGGCUCAUAGCCGGGAGUACUCUCCUCCUGGUUAACAGCUUCCAAUCCCCUGGAAGGUGCGAGCUGAGGCGUAAGCUGGGUUGGGAGCUGUGAUGAGAUUUGGCCCGAAAGAUGGCCUUGCAUCUGAGCCGACAUUGGUGUUUGCAUCUGAUUCUGCAUCUGAUUCGGAAUCUGCGCCUGAAGCUGGCCAUCCAUGUGAGGCUCCUGCUGCAUCAACUAUUGAAGCAAGCAUAGGAUUCAAAAAACUGCUCCGUAAUUCCAACUCAUAGGUUCUCAUUAUCAUUACCAAAAUUCUCAUGAAAAACAAGGUGCAGUUCCUCGUUGUCCAGGUUAUUCAAGGAGUGAGAAGACCAGCUCAAACCACCGAAAAAUGAAACAAACCUGAAGCAUGAUGUCACGCGGAUCAUGGGAGUCCAUCGGCGAUGGUUCGCUACCUGCAGCCCCAAACAAAUCUCUGUUCACUGCAUCUUCUUCUUCCCUUGCAAUCAAGCCAUCUGUUUCCUCCGUCAGACCUAUCCUUGGAAAACUCUGCAAGUCUAUUCUUACUAGCUAGGAUGUGAGAACAUUCACAAACUACACUACAUGAAGAUGAUAUAGGCAAAAUUUCACUACUAAGCAUGAAAGAAAAAACAGAUUGUCUGAGAGAGUUACAUUAAUAAUACCAACACAAGCUCUGUCUAAUUACAUGAUAUUGCAUUGUAGAUAAUGCGCAUGGAACAAUGUGGAUACAGAAUAGCCAAUAAUUGUAAAUAUCUAUUCCAGUAAUGCCUGGAAAAAGUAACUAGGAAAACUUGUAGAGACGAUAAACAGGCCAAACACUAGGUUUCUUUGAACGAGAAUUAUAAACUUGGACAUGAAGUAAGAGAUCUCAUUUCGAUGCACUCAAGCUAAUAUUCUCGCGUGUAGUCGAAAUGUAUACAACAUUUAAUAGAAAAGUUUAAUUAAUUGAAACAAGGCAACGAAAAGUUUGAGAUAUAAGCCUCGUCGCUACAAUGACAUAACAAGCGAAUGCAAAGAAAAUGCAAGGCAAACCAGUGUGGUCAGGAAGUAUGAGUGUGUUCCCACAUGAAAAACACGUUACCUAGUAAUGCUCUCGGUGUGUCACUCCUCUUCUUGCCCUUCAGAGCAUGAGCAGCCUCGAUCAUAACAGUUGGGUGACGCUUGCGAAACCAGUCCAUCCAGCUUUUACCAGGUACUCCAUUCCUAAAUGGAGUCUCUCUUCCCUGGCACACAUCUGCAACUUUCCUUCGGAGCAUGUAGAACGUAAUAGGAUGUCCAUUUCUUUGCAUCUCUAAACACCAGUCAACCAUCGAGUCUUCUUCCUCCUUCGUCAGAACAGUGCGAGGACCUUUCUUCUUGGAAGAUGUUUUCCCGGUUAGCCAGUCCCGGAUUGACGACUCGGGAAUUCCGUACUUCUCUCCAAUCUUACCUAUGGAGGCUGUCCCUUUCUUGACCUCCUUAAUAGCUUCCUUCAUACUCUCUUCUGACCAAUUCCCUCGCUGUUGUAUUCUACGAGAGCUUCCCCUUUUUGCUUGCGUCAUACCACCUCUCAUGUCCUUCACUUCUGCACCUUCUCCCUGAGUCCCCCACGCCACCACUACAAUCCCGUGCAACCUCAGCUCAAAUUUCAAAACGAUUGGCUUAGCACGCGGAGAUCAACACAACAAUAUGCACGCUCAAGUCCAAACUUCGUAGACGACGUUAGACCUAAACAAGACCCAUCGCGACACACAGGCAGAGCGACUGCACUUACCAGAAAAAUCUCUUCCUGCAGCGUCUCCCUCCUGUUCAAUCAUCCCGCCCUGAUUCAACCAUGCCACACAAUUAUAUCAGCCUCCAAAAUUACCGACUACAUCUUACCUCCUAUGCAGCCCAAUGCCAGGCGUUCGAUGCAGCAAACCGCUGCUCGGCGAUGAUUCCCGCCAUGCCAACCUUCGCGUCGACAACAGACCUCUACACACAAUCCAAUAACCAGCACCAAAGGUCCAUUCCAUUUUCUCGCUCUGAACUCCAUAUAUUUAUUUAUUUUCUAUUUUUUGUUUUUAUUCUUUCCUGUUCCCUUGACACUUCCUCUACCACUCCGAAAAUUUUCCAAAAACUGAACACCCUAACUGACCGCAACUUCGCCAGCUACGGCUCAUCAACUUCAAUCUGCCGGCACAGCGCACAUCAUCUGAUGCCGUACCACAGCUAAUGUCGAAGCUCAGUUCUUAACUCGGGCAUGGCGGUCACAGUGCACUCUCUCAACUCGUUCAAACCCCAGCACCCUUCGUAAGAAACGAGGUUUUCCACGACAAAAUCGCAACCGGGACUUCAUACCGACUACAGAUUCCACACAAAGUACACAAAAUCAUUCGGAAGUAAAUAGCGUACCGAAACUAGGACCGUAAUGCCGCGGAGCCAAAGGUUUUGGCACGACUUGCGAUCGUCGGCAGCGUCGAGAACCCUUCACCGUCUCUCACCACCUUGAACCGUGACAAGCCCGUGAGGAGAGGAGACGAGGUUUUGCCCUCACCGCCGUCUGCCGCCACUUACCGCGUAGUACAGCCGCGGACGCUUGCGCGCGGCUGGUCCAGGCGUUUCCAGAGGCGUUCGCUGUGAGAGGGGAUCGAUCGUGCCUCCCCUCUUGAAAUUUAUAUUUUGUAUUUCGAAAAAGUUUAAAGUUGAUGUAAACGUAAAAGUUUAAAGUAAGACUUGGAGUGUAUUGCAUUGCAAUAAUACUUACAAAAUAUAUAAUAAUAGUAAAAAUAAUUAUGAUAAUUUUUAGUAAAGAAACAAUUUACAUUCCUACAUAAUGUUUAUUCAAUAACAGUAAUUGCUAAAUCUGAACUAAGAAUUUGAAUAUUACAAAUACAUCAAAUUUGACUGAAGUGUAAAAGAAUUUCUAUAUUGAAAUUUCUGCACUACUUAUCCUAAAUUUUAUUAUAUUCACUAUUACCGUAUUAUUUUUUCAAUUACAUAUUUAUUGUAUUUAUAAAUAAUCGAAUAACAUAAAUUUGUCAAAUAAUUAUGUUCAACAAAAAAAUCAUUGUACUUAAAAAAGAAUUACACAUUUAUGCUAUGUCCACAUUAUGUGUAUGUUAAAAGAUGUAAUAUUUACUUCAAUAUUCAAGUUAUUAAAUAAAGUAUGUGAUUCAAAAAUUCAAAACUUUUAAAAAAUUUAACAACAUAUUUGAAAACUAUUCAUUGUAAUGAAAUAUAAAAUGGUAUUACUAUAUUCAAGCUUUUGAAUUUCUAAUGUAAAAAUAUUAUAAUAUAUGUAGAGAGAUAAGUAAGAUAUUGAAUAGUUUUUUUGUAAAUAAUUGAUUAGUUCUGUGAUUGUAGAGUGCUAUGUAGCCAAAGUGAAUCAUAUUGUGUAGAAGUGUUGGACUAACUGAUUGAAGAUUAGUUAAUAACUGUCAGAAGGUAAAAACCAGAAUAAACAUUUAAUGAUGAUUCAAAAGUCACUGUCAAACUUUAACACAAAUGGAUAAUAGAAUGACUUCUGAAGGUUUAAACUAAAUAACAAGCUCUUGUUAAGCUAAUGUAAAAGUAGAGCAGGCACAUGGUCAAAAUUCAAAAAACAUUUUGCACAGGACACAAAAAUAUAUGUUUGCCAGAUGGGUCACAUUUACUCAUCUUGUGUUCACAAAAAAAAACAAACAAACAAACAAACAAACAAAAACAAAACCGACUAUUGGCAACAGUUUUGUUGCUAAUUUUCUUUUUGUGCCGACAGAGAGCUGCAAUAUGGUGUGGAUAUCUCAAUCGCCGUCAGCCCUCUCAUGAUCAGUUGAUGAUGUUAUUUAGCUUAAGGGCAGCUGGAUAUAUUCUUUUGUUUCUAUACAGAAUUAGCAGCGUCUUGGCUACAUAAUCAUAGACAUGUCAAACUAUUCUGAAUUGGGUGAAAGUAGUCGCUGGAUAUCCACCUCUGUCACCUCGGUCAUUAGAAACUUAAGAAUGCAAAGUUGAAGCAGAUAGAUGCUCAAAUUCUACGAAACUGGUCUAAUGCACUCUACCAGAGGUGGGGAAGCUGCGUACAUUAGAAGUGCUUAGUUGGUUAUAAACCUGCAGGGUACUGCUGCAGUAACAUCAGCAAAGAGGAGUGAAUCUUACAGUGUUCACUCUGUGCAAGAUGUUCGGGCAAACCUUGCUUGGUGCAGUUGAUCGCAUGUAGACCCUUGAAAUCCAGCAUGUCGAAGUCGAGGUUGCUCAGAAACAGCACCAAGGUCUGUUUCGUAGCGUGUGCUGAGCACACUGAUAUAUACAGAAGUGAGUGAGAUUUGCUUAUCAAAUCGCAAAGAGAAGUUUACCACCAGAAUUUAGAGGAAUAGGAUACUUCCGUAAUGUCUGAUUCAGCAACUAGCCGAAGGUUGUCACUGCAUAGCACGGAAAUAUAAAACUUGUUCUCACCAAAGUAUGGAUGAGUGCAAGAACAGGUGGAUUGGAGGCCAUCCUCUAUCUGUGAGUCUGGGACAUUUAUUCAUGAAUUAUCUGACCAUGACCAGUUACAGGAUUCCUGGUAUCGAAUUAAGUGCGAGGAUGUGAUGUUCCAUGAAGAGAAAUUCUCUACACGUCUUUCCCUGUUUCCGAUGGUGAAGUGCCGGGGGAGGAAUCUGCUUAAUUACACACCAAAACAAAUGAACCCAUUGCGUUCAAGAGGAUUGUUGAGCUUGUGAAGUCGAUGAGAGUAUUAUUGUUUAUCUAAAAUCCAUUUUUUUCAGUUCCACUUAGGUCACUGUUUUUGCUGAACUUUCAAGCACGUCGACGUUGCGCUCAUCGAGAUGAAGUAAGUAUAAGAAGCACUCUCACCGCUAAUGUACUUCACAGAUAACAACACCACCGCUUUUGCUCCUUCAAACUAGAACUAAUUCUCAUUUGGCGACCAAGGCAAGUCAGUCCAAGUGGAUAACAGAACUCAAAGGAGAGUGGUGAACCUGGUCUAGAACUUAAGGUGAAACGAAGUUUAGUUUCCCGUGCAGAUUGAGUGUCAAGGAGUUUUAACCCACGAACUCACGCAAUCUACACCAUACUGCACUGUUUAGGCACUAGCAUCGACAAACGUACACAUUCACACACACACACACGCACAAUGUACUCUAUGUGCGGAAGUUGAAAACAUUCUUGAGUUUCAUUUUAUCCAAAAAUGAAGUUGUCUACAUCCCGAAGCGGGUUCCUGAAAUUUACGUGCCCAGUUUACAAGAUUCUGGCGUACUUGCAUCAUGAUAUCCUGCUUCUCUAACUCUUCGUACAGUCAUGGUACACAAUCCUUUAGAUAGCAACACGCCUACUAGAAUGGUUCCUGGAAGCAUAAUUUUCUAUUUUGACACUGUAAUGUCACGACAACUAAACCUCGUCUCCGUCUCUAUCUCCGUCUAUCGAAGAAAAUAUACACCUGAAAAGUAAUUGUGCUUACACAAACCUAAAUGACUAGUGACUGCUCCUUGAAAGCCUUGGAGCACCCUACCCAAUUACGCACAAACACCCACAUCGGGAUGCAGCAAUUGUCUCGACUCGAAACAAUCAGUACAACUUACUAAAACAUUCUCCCUUAGGAUGGUAGAGUUCACGAGUAAUAUGCUCCAAUGCUGUAGUGCCGGCAGAGCUUACUGUAAUCCAGUCUGUAUCGUAUGUACAUGCGAGUUGCAUCGAUUGCGAGAUUCGAGAGCGAGUACACAGGAUCAACACCAGUAUAUCGUUGGACGGCCACGAAGAUUGCAAAGGACACAAGAAAACAAAGCGCUAUGGGGUUCUUCAUUUAAUUAUUUUUUUCUGCUUCGCAAUAACGUAUGAUGUGCUCACAGCAGAAAAGAAAAUCUGUUGAAGCGCUCCCUCAAAAGUCCAUCAGAUCAGCUAAUGCAAUGCCAACUCCUCCUGUGAAGUUCCCGCUCGUGCACCUGCCGAGGUCGCGGUAUUCAAAUCAUGAAUGAGAUUGAAGACCGGCGAGACAGCUUUCAGCUAUGGCACCUCAAUCACCAAGUAUACACCCGGUAGAUUCAUCAGCAUUAAAACUGCAGAAUGUACAAACAUUCAAAUUACUCAGUAAACUAUUGCGAAAACAGGAGCCCGUCAAUGGCAGAUAUCGACGUUUCCAAGAAGUUCACAACUUGAGCCAAAUCACUACAUCUCUCCCCACUUUCAUGCAUAAUUUUCUCACCUCGCCUCUCAACGCCCCUAUGCCAAUUGAUCGAAUCCCGAUCGAGACCAAACGACGUCGCCCAUGAGACCUACUUCUAGAAGAGUCUACAUUUCAACCUAGAAGUACCUCCACAUGAGCAACAACUUCAUCACCCUAAGCAAAUAGAACAAGACGGCGUUUGCCGGAGAAGACUCGAGUCUUGGACGGCCUGUGAUGGAUACGCACGGAAGGUUGUUCUAAACCACGUCAAGUCAACAAACCGCACCUGAAUUUUGUGCAUUUCUGUGUGGAAAUUUGAGCGAGCUCGUGAUUAAUAAUAAAAACUGACCUCGAAGGAUGGAAAAGUCAAGCUCGCUAUCGUGGAGAUCAAGCAACGAAAGAUGAUCGUCAUAUGAAUUCAGUAUUGAAUGCGUGAAUUCCGUGGGGAUUUGAUUCGUGAGCUCCACAGUCCAAGGCCAAUAGAAGUAAAUCAUGGAAGUUCGAAGACCAGACUUCACCAAUCCCGCCCAAACGUGCCCCGCCAACGUGCCUCGAUUUCCCUACGAAAGUCUUCCCACUGCCCAAGUCACCCAGUCCCUGCCCAGAAUCUGCCGUAAAAAUCUGCCCUCAGCUCAUACUAAUCAAAACUUCCCUGCCCGCUGCCCCUGCUGGCCCUGCCCGGCAGCAGCGGCUCCCGCCUGUCGGCAGCGGGCCAGUCUGCAAGUGCAGCCCAGUGACAUGAAAUAUAACUUAUUUAUUAUAAUAAUCAUGAAUAAAUGAAAUAAAUAUAUUACGAAUAUUGUAUCCAAUAUAAAGAAUAAUACAUCAGUUAACAUAUUAUAAAUAUAAUGUGAAAUAAUAAAUUCCAUUAUUAAAUUUAUAUGAUGAAAUUAUAAGAUCAGUUAAAUAUUUAAAUUUAAAAUAUAUAUAUAUAUAAUAAAAUUAUGAUUAUUUCAAUUUUAUAUUAUUAUUUGAUUUCCUUAUACAUAAUAUAUGUUUUUAUUAAUAUGUGAUAUAUAUUAGUUGAAUUAUGUAUGUUAUAUAUUACUUUAAUUAAGUAUAUUGAAUAUGAUGGAGUAUAAUAAUUAAAUCUUAAUUAAAAUAUUAAUUUCUAAAAACUAAUAAUAUCCAAUAAUUAGUCAAAAAGAUUGAUACUAACUCCAUUUUUUGGUGCAUGAUUAAUAACUUCUUGUUUCUAAUAAGCAAUCUAUUUUUAUUAAAUUUUACUAAUUAGCAAAGACAAUUAAGAAAGCCCACAAGUCUAUAUAUAUUUAGACAAAGCAAGCUCAUAAAGAGUGAUCAGCUUAAAGUAUAGAGCCUUGGCAAAAAUGAUUUCUAUCAUGUUUUUAAUGUCACACAUUUGAUGAUUAUAAUCCUUAAUAGUUAUAUAUUUUUAGUGCAAUAAAUGAUGUUAAUUAAUAGCAACAUAUAUAAUAGCUUGGGUAUAGGAUAAAGAGACAAAGAAGCCUUCUUAUUGGCUAAACAUAGAAAUGAGGAAACAUAGAUGAAUAAGGGAGUCAAUAGAUGGCAGUGCCAAAGAUUGUGGUGCCCAACAACAUGGGUUUUUGCUUGUAUAUAUAUAAGUUAGUAAAAUAUUUGUAAAUUAUAGAUUAUAUAUAAUGUAAAAUUAUUUAUAUUGUGUCCAAUACUAAUUAAAUAUAUCCAUUCAAAUAGAAUAUUGUACAAUUUCAAAUCAUUGGGAUAAGUUUAUAUUUUUGAGCAUUGGAUUAGAUUAUUCAAUGAUAGCAAAUGAAUUGAGUUAUUGAUUUCUAGUUAAGAACCAAGUAGAAGCAAAAUAUUUGCUACAUUUUUGUACUAUAUAUAUAUAUAUAUAUAUAUAUAUAUUUUAAAAAUUAUAUGCAAAGAUAUUAUAGCUUCUAUUAGUAUUUAAGAUCAAUAGGUUAAAAAAUUUAUAAAAUACUAAAAAAAUGUAUUAGAUUUUUUUUCUUCUAUAUAUGUGUUUAAAAAACAAUACAUUCUUAUAUUAUCAAAAGAGAGAAAAUAAACAACUAAAAAGUAUAUAUGUAAUUAAAACUAUAGUGGCUAUUACCAAAUACAAAAGGACUAGGAAGUCUUAAACCAAAAUAGAAUACAAAGAAGACAUGGAUAAGAGUGAGGAAGGCAUCACUCUUGUCUCCAUAUGUACUACUUAUUAAAGAAUUACAUGGCAAUGCCCUAUAAACUAUAUAACAUGUGUCUAAGUUGAAAGACAAGUUUUUGAUAUAUAUGUCAUAUGGCCGACUUUAAAGUCAAGUUGCUAAAUGUGUGACAUGUGGCCGAUUUGUUGGCCAAGUUGUCAACCCACCAAUCACUUAUAAACACAUGUGAUGUUUACAAAGCUUCUAAGAUUCUUAGCAAUAAGAUAUCAAUAAUUUAACCAACUUCUACUUCUAAUUCUUUCUAUCUAUUUUUAUUUAUCUAAAUAUAUAUGGCUAUCCACUAUAUAUGGCUAUCCAUUACAAUUUAUAUGCUUUAUAAAUUUUAAUUUUGAUUUAAUUAUUUAACUAUUAAAAUCUUUGAUUAAAAGAAUGAACAUAUUUCUAUUUAAUAAUUAAAAAAAUAAAUAUAUAUAAUUUAAAUUUCUAUUAAUAUUUUUUAUAUUAAUAAUAUAUACAUAUAUAUAUAUAUAUAUAUAUAUUAAUAAUUAUCAUUUAUCAUCAAUUCUUCAAACAUUAUAAGUUGAUUUUCUCAAGAUUAGGUCGUAGACUUUCUUAUAUAUCUAAAAGAUCAAAAUGAUACUAUCUUAUAUUAGGACCUUAACAAAAAAAUAAUAAUCUAUCAUCUUUGCUUGUUAUUUUUAAUAAUAUAAAGCAUUUUAAUUCAAUCUAUCUUCAAAAUUUAUAUUAACUUUUUUGUUUAUAAUUUAGAAUUAAAAUUUAAGAUGUUCAAUAUUAGUCAAAUGUAAUAUAUAUCUAUAUAUAUAUAUAUAUAUAACGAGAUCCUAUCAUAUGAAUUGUUUCAAUUGAAAUAUUCGUUUGGCAUUCACACCAUAAACUUCACCAUGAAAGAGUGACGACAAUUUUCACCCACCCUUUCAAGGACGAUGAAAGAUAUGUUGGAUCACGGCGAACGAGUUUCAUCCAAUAUUGGGAACAGAUAUUCUCAAUAUUGGGAACUGCCGCACAUCAUUCACAGCAAACCAUGUUUAGGGUUUAGACCCACGAAAAUUCUAGAUCCGAAUAUCGUUGGAUCCCGUGCUGUGUAUGUGAAGGGCACUGCGCGGCGUUGCUCGUGGUGCUCGUCUUUCCGUUGUAUCGAUCGAGGUCAUGAAAAAGUGUUCACGGGGAGAUUGUGAAUUGGCUUCAAUCGCCACAGAAUUUUCGACGAGAAUGACGGCGAAACUCGACAAUAAGCUCUGUUAAAUGCGAGUAGUUUUUGUUCGAAGUUCAGGUGGCUUUCAGAAUUUGCUAUUUUCAAAAUGGUGGAGGAAGCUGCUGCUCGCGUUGCAGCUCUAGAGCAGCGACAGCUUUUUAUUCUUCAAUCCAUAGCCAAUCUGGAGCUUCGGUUGUCGGGUAUCAAGAAGUUAGAGUCGAGCGGAGGCCAUACGGGCUCCUCUGCCGGCGAUUGCACGUCCGAGGAUCCUAUUGAACGCCGUGAGCCUGCGAAGACUCCCAUUUGCGACGUAAUGAUUGAAUUCUUUCUUAUUUUUAUUUUUUUGAAUUAGAUAGUUGGCUGAAUUCGUUGAUAUUGACAUUUCGCAUUGAAGAAUCGUUUUUAUUGUUCUCGUUUCCUUUUAAGUUUUUAUUUAUUAUUUAGUUUUAUCUUUCUAGCGCUUAUUUGUUACGUGCACUCUGCUCUCGAACUUCAUUAGUUGUAUUGGUCGUCCUGAGACUGAUGAGUACGUUUGGUCGGAUGCUACAGAUUGUCGAGCAACGGCUUUCAAAAUUGUUACAGGCUGCAGGGGCUUCUGAAUUUGUUUUCAAGACAGUUCCUUCAGACUAUUAUGACAGGUCAUAUGAACAACGACGCGAUCUUCUAAGUGCUGCGUCUGUGGACCACCUUUGCAAAAGCAUUGUUAUGGUGAGGCUGUUAUGUUCACCCUCUUAUUUGGCUUUUUGAUGGAGUUUUUGAGAUUUUGCUCGUGAUUUAUUGGAUUAAUGCUUGAGAAAGAUUCGAAAAGGAAUUUAUAUAUGAGGACACUGUAUUUCUUUCUUUGAAUAUUCAGCUGUAUGGAUGAGUAAGAACGAAAAGGAUUCCAAUACAGAGCUCCUUAUUUGGGAGCCUCUUUCUCAGGUGAAUGUGCGCGUUGUCGUGAUGAUCAGUUUGAGCGUUACAUAUUGUGAAUUGCGCUUACACCACAGAUUCAGUUUUUGUGGCCGCAGAAAUACCCUGACAAACUCAAGUUUUCUUGCAGGUAAAUACACAAGCGCACGAAAGUGUGAAGGAUUGUAGUGAUCGGAAGAACUCGAAGUAUUAUGUUAUUGUUAUACAGGUGAAAUUGCGUCUCACCUAAUCCUUGAUAGUGUUCGAUUGGCCUAUUUCUGUUUUAUUGAAUCUCAUUGUGCGUUUUGUCUAACAUGAGUGCUCUCGUUGAGAGUUCUAGAUAAGGAUGCAUUGUGUGAACUUUCGAGAUGCAUUGAACUACAUUUGUUGCAGACUUUCUUGAUCAGCCUAGAUAUCAUCUUCUAUUGAGAAUUAAGAAGGUUUUUCUGAUCUUAAGGAGUCUGGUUUUCUAAAGUUGAUAUUAUUCCAACUUCACUGGUUUGAUUCCACGAAUGUAUUGAAACGUGUUGUGGUACAGUAUACAGCGCGUCUUAACGCCGAAAAGGUUAAAGCGUUCGUUCAUUCCCUGAAUGAGGGGAAAAUUCCCAAGAAAAGAUUUAACUGUAAGGGUGUUCAGAUCUCUCCAUUUGAAUUAAACAGGUCACAAGCUUCAUUUAAUGCUAAAAAAAUAAAUAACACUGCUACGUUCCCGAAGAUUUAACUGACUGUCUUUGUCGUUGGUGACAUGUAUUAAAUUUCCAAUCCUGCAGGCAUUGUUAAGUCAGAGAGGUCCGUGUAGUAUAAUGGAUGAAGACGAACGUCUGAGCCCUUGGUUCAUAAUGACCGAGUUUCAGUUCAAAAUUGUCUGAUUAGAUAAGAACAUACAGCGUUCUUAUUCUGACUAGUGUUGAUUGUACUCGUGCAUGUUAAGUGCGUCUUGCUCCAGAGGAAGAGUCCAACCAACUGACUGGCUUUGAACACAAUGCUGUUACACCUAUUGGAAUGCGCACGGACAUACCUGUAAGCGUUGGUGCAUAGCUUGCUUCAUGUCUUGUGAUUAAACUAGGUUAAACAUGUGACGCUACGUCAAUUUAAACGAAGAGGAGACUCUGUGGUCGAUGCAUUCUGGGAUCGUCUUUUCUUGGUUUAUCUCCCAUUUAAUUGUCAUUUCUUCCAGAUGUACACGAAAAGUUUACACAAGUUACGUGGUUAGGAUUCAGGGGUGCUUGUUUGCUCAUGGACAGACAAUGUUCUGGCUAAUGGCGCAGGUAAUUCUUUCAGACGCUAUUGUACAGCUCAGCCCACGAUUUUUUUGGCUUGGCGGAGGGGAAGUGGAUUUGAAACUGGGUACUAAAACCGACGAGUUUAUUAAAAUUGUGAAACCAUUUAUCACAGAUUGCACUUAUUAGUCAAGUAUAGUAUACAUCCAUUCAUGUGCACUCAGAUUCUUGGAUUGAACAAUCUUUUUUGAAUUGUGGUCAUAACAUGGUAGUCUGCAAGUCAAGUGCCUAAGAUUUCUUCCUGAAGCAUGUUAGUUCUUAUGAAAUUUUGAUCAAUUUUCUUUAGAUAAUGUAUGGUCAGUCCUGUCAAUUCAUUUUUGCAAGUUCCCCUGUGAAAUUUGAAAGGUUUUAGUAUUUUUAUCUUUUUUAAUGUCUGCCAAUAGCCUGUAUUGUUUAUCAGCCAAUAAACUGAUAAAUCUAUUUAUUUCUUUUCAUACACCUACACUAUUUCGUUUCCACAAUGCCUAAUUUUUACAUAGGAAUACAGUUAAAAUCCAUCAAAAACAUGGUACGAUGGCUAGAACAUAGUGGUAAUUGAUGCGACGAUAACAUAACUUCGAUGCUACAAUUUGAUUUGAUAAAGACGAAACACAGUUAUUAACACUCAUCUUGUGAGGAAAUCAAUGAUUGUAUGCACUGCUAUACAUGAGAAAAGUGAUUGUGCAAUGCUUUAGGACAUGCAACAUUAAUUUGUGUACCAUUUGUCCACACUAUAAGUAACAUAUUGACAAAUUUGGAAAUGUGUUGAUGAACAUGCACAUAUUUUUAUGAAAUACUUUUAAAUUGUGAAUAUGACAAAGUUUUAAUUUUUGCCUUCUCUGAAUUGAAAGCAUUCUAUAAAAAUAGCCUUUCUCUAGACCUUAAAAAGAUAUGUUAUGUUAAAAGUAAAGACAUGCUCACUGUAGGACAUUCACAUGAUCAAGUAGUGAAAGAAAACACUAAUUUGUAAGGCAUUGAUACAUAAAUAUAUGAAUUUUAAACAGUUAAAUUAAAGUGAUAAAUAUAACAAAAACUACUCUUGUGUUUAGCAAUUCAGUUAAUUUAUUAUUAUUUAAGUUUUUGCAUCAUAUCGCAUAAGUUAUCGUGUCUUAUGAUAUAAUAUACACGAGUUUUCAGUUGGAGACAAAAAAUGACAAGAUAUACAAGGAAGGUUUACAAGUUUUUCUAUUAGUCGAUACUUUAUUUAUGCUAUUUUAUCAACCACACAAUCAAUUUUUGUUCAUAUGAUGUGUGUCUAAAAUGAGAAAGUGACGACCUUGUCUUUGAGGCAAGAAAGCAUAAACCAAACUUCCCGUGAAGUUAACAAAAGAUAUUGCAUAGCAAAAUGAUUUUUGUCACUCAACAAUGUACACAUUUGCUGGUUCUUUAAACGACAUCAAUGUUUAAUUUUAAUAAUACCCUCCGUGUUAACAUGGAUAAAAAAAAAAAAAAAAAAAAAAAAAAAUCAUCAUAAUCACCCAGAUAUUUUUACGAAUAAAUAAUCCAAAAUCAGAAUCAUAAAAUGAUGUCAAAACAAAUUCACCUUGUUUCCGUGAUGCUUGAGUCUAUCUCGCAAUACUAACGCCGCCAAUAAACUUUUCACGCAUCAAGCCCUAAUUUCUACACGACAAUUUCUUCCACUCUUGAACAGCGCAUUGGAAUCGCAAUCAAUCUUAUGACGACGAAGGCAUCAGAGCGUCACGAAACAGAACACGGAGAACUCAUCUACACUCCGUCGAUGAAGUCGAAGUAUCUCUCUCCCUCUUUUCGUCAUGUGACGUUUUCUGGCUGCAUUGUGAAACUUGAGCCUCACCGUCACACCAUGCUUGUCCGCAUUGAUAAGAGUUGACCCAUUGCUUCGUAGGGCUGUCGAUUAGCACUCCACUCGUGUGGAGCAUAUAUGCAGUCGAGAUCACUCGGAUCGGCAACAAAAAGAUCCUCUGAUCGAAACCGUAGCCACACAAGCUCAUGUCGUCCUCGUGGACACAACUGAAAAACGCACUGAAUGAGAGAAAAGAGGCAACCAUCCUAUUUCGAGCCGCACCGAUUCGCCGCUCCAGUACAUGCCAUCACGCUUAACAAAGCGACAUCGAAUUACGGGUAAGGCCGCAUUAGUUAAUUAGAGGCUUCUCAGAAUGAACAAAGAGUAUCAUUUUCAAGCGGACAUCGACUUAUCUAAGUUCCCGGAUCCCCGAACCCGUUGAGGGGCGCGAACAAACAUCACGUCCAUGGCUCACGGAGCACCCACCCACACGACUCCCAAAUUUGCCACUCUGGGACACAACAACAGCAACAGCGAACACCUUAACAACCACCAUGAAUCGUCAUCGCGACACACAAUCGAGCUAGUAAUUGCAAGUAAAGAAACCCUUGCAAAGGAUGCGACCUCGGACUCCGCGAGCUCCAGCUACUCGUUCAGACUCGGGGAUACUUUGACGGAGUUCGUCCAAAAGUGUUCCAUCGGAUAUCGUCGUCAAAACGGAUGAGUAUCGUCGACAUGUUCCAGAUGGAACAUGCGGGAAGGGGGUGGGUUCCCGGAGGAGACGACUUUUAGGGCUUGAGGCACCCUACAGCGGCCUUUCGCCCUGUUUCGCAGAUCCAUCGAUUCUCAUCUCUCUCUGCAACAAUCGCCGCUCUCAGGCCGCUGCUGCUGCUGCUGUUGCUGCCAACAGCAAGGCCACAGCUCCUCGUCACGCCCCUCGUUUCUCCUCGAUCUCUCGGUUCGUCUGUGAAGAGCUCGGCGCGCGUGCCCGUCGUCGUCGUCGUGCCUUUAUCACUGAUUCAUCAGCAUUUCGGUGGCUGUUUCGUCAUAGUGUGCUGAUUUUAAUUUUAGUUUUUGGACGUCUAGAGUGUCUUUUUUAUCGCGGUGUCUAUUCGAGUGUUUCAGGGCGAGUGCUGUGGUGGCUUGUUGUGUGGAGAGAAGGGGUUAGCUUUUUUUUUUUUUUUUUUUUUUUUUUUUUUUUUAAUUUUUUUUAUUUCCCACUCUUCUUUUUGUUUUUUUGUGCUUUCUUUCUUUCUUUUAUAGAAGGAUAUAUUUUUUUCUGUCAUUCUUAAUGUUUUAGAUAUUAUUUUUUCUACGAUUUAAAAACUUUUUGGAAGUUCUAGUUUUGUUUAGUUGUAUGGUAUGAGCAUUUUUGGGCGGCUUUAGUCUUGUUUACAUCCGUUGCAGUUUAUUGCGGGUGGAUGCGUAUCCCUCAGAGAAGUCAGAAUUGAUUUGCUCCUGUGGUGCUAGAUUUUUUAGUUGGGGUUGCAGAGCAGUGGCGACUCAGGAUAGAGUAUCGUGAUCCUGCUUGGUUCCUGGGCCUUAGGUCUACCUGUUUACUCGAACAUCAGAAGCCUUGGCAACAUUUUACGGUUAAGCUGCUAAAGAGUAGGUAAGAUAUAUCUUUCCAUUCGAUCGUGGUGAGUGUUAGCUGAUGAACUAUGCCUCAUUUCUAGGACGUGGUAAGGUUCAGAAACGCAGUACGGAGACCUUUGGUGGUGGCUGUCGCUCUGUUUAUCACUGUGAAAAGUUAAGUCCUUUUAGUGUCUUUUAUGUUCCUCCGUAUCUUGUUAUGAGUCAUUCUGAAUACUCAGAUGUAUUUCAUUUGAAAGACCAGUGACAGUGUUCGGUCUAUGUGUCGCUUAAGCAGUUAAAUCUGUCAGUUAGGUUUUGGAAAGGUCGGUUUUGUUAAAAAGUCGUCUUUAUCCGAUCCACCACUUUUUUGCGCAGUGUUCUCAUUCAUUUUUUAAGGUUGGCUGUCGCCUUUCAGUAAUUUAGUUGCCACUGGUUGUAGCUUCUAUGUCUUCGUUGUGGUCUGGUUGGGGGUGGCAGAAAUUCUAAUCUGUGUUUCCAUUUCACAGGAACCAUGGCGUCUCCUGUAGCAACGGCACAAGUUGUAAGUUUCGGUCACAUCUUCAUUUGUAUUCUUCUGCCUUGCAGCUUACAUUGAAAAGUCCUUAAAUAGUCAUCAUUUAGAGGUUUUUUUAAUCAUUCCAUCCUUUCGCUGGCACUCCUACUUGAUUUUCUGGGAUGCCAACAGAAUCUGAAAAGAUAUGUGGUGGCCAUUCAUUGUAAUGUCAAUAUGGUUACGUUUUGAUAGUGGAGCCAGUUUAUGCCAUUCAUCUUCUGCAGUAUUUGCAUUGUUGAAGCCUUGAUUUACCGAACGCUUUUAUUUAUCUUCUCGGUGAUGCAGGUCGGAAAUGCAUUUGUGAACCAGUAUUACAAUGUACUACACCAAUCCCCACAAGUAGUGCAUCGGUUUUACACUGAUGCCAGUCACAUGACCCGAGCGGAAGCGGGAGCCGGUGGGGCAGUGGAUGUGGCUCACACCCAAGAUGUGAGUAUCAUUUGGAAACUCUUGUGUACAACAUAGUCCUAUCAUCGUAUCUAGCUGAUGAGUUUUGAUGACGUCGUACCGGAGCUCUUUCAAGUUGUGUUUUGGAUUUAUUCCCCAUGCAGCGGGUACCACCCACUGCUCAAUGUCUGAACUUUGGGACGUGUUGUAGUUCAUUUUUCUUCUUUCGCGUAAGUCCAUAUGUUAUGUGAUUGUUUUUAAAAUUUUAAAAUUUUAAAUUUCUUAGUCAAUAUAAUGAAUGCAUAAAGUACAGGUGUCAAACUUGUGGUGGUAGUUUUGGUCAUCACCUACCUUCAACGCCCCGCUGUCUACGUAGUAGGUAGCCAUGUUUGAGGUGUAGGAGGGUUUGUUAUUGUGAGAGUAUUUUUAAUCAUUAGCUGUAUUUUUUUUGCAGCAAAUUCACCACAAGGUGAUGUCCUCUGACUACAGUGAGUUCAAGGCUGAAAUCAAGACUGUCGACUCACAGGAUUCCCUGAGUGGUGGAGUUCUUGUCCUGGUCACCGGUUCUCUCUCAACCAAACCAACUGGAAAGAGGAACUUCGUCCAAAGCUUCUUUUUAGCUCCUCAGGAGAAGGGCUACUUUGUUCUGAAUGACGUAUUCCGUUACCUCGACGAUGAAGAACAACAGCAGACGAAGUCUGUCCCCUCUCUUGCUAACGGUGUUGCUGAAGGUGCAUACUCGCAUCAACAGGCUCCUGAACCAGGUACAUGUGUGUCCCUUAUGUUGCUUGCUUGUUUCACUCUAGUUGUUUCCAUAGUAUUGCAUCCACUAAAUGUUACUCUGUAUAUGACAUAAUAGUUUGCAGAUUUUCUGCUUGUAUCUUCCUCAAAUAAAUGACGAUUUUCUGCUUUUGAUGCACAUCUCACCAAGCUUAGGUAUCUUUAUUGAUUAUCAUGGUAAUAAUCCUCAAUUGUAUGAUUUAAUUACAUUGAAACUGAAGUUGAUAUGGUCGACUCUAUGCUCAGUUGUGGAGCAACCUACUCCAGCUCCAGCGCCAGAAGUUGUGAGGGAAGUCACUCCCGAACCAGUUCCCGAGAACGAGGCGACAGCGCAGGAAGUUUUCGAUGAUGAAGGCUCCACAGGAGCGGAAGAAGAGAAACACACUGGCCAGGUUCCUGUUGAGGACAACACUUCUCCCGUAAUUGAAGAACCUGAGUCACCAAUGGUGCAAACAACUCCAGUCAGGGACAAUCCUGUGCCUGUUCAGGAACCAGAAUCAGUUGGUGAACAGCCUAAGAAGUCAUAUGCGUCUAUUGUAAGUUUUUGCCACUUUUUCCGACAAGAAUCCUCUGUCAUUCCUCCGGUACAUGCUAGUGUGAAGUAACUUUUCGAUGGCAAUGUUUUUAUUCAUUUUAUGUUGUCUUAUUGACGGGUUCCCUGUCGCUUCGCACAGUUGAGGGUUAUCGGAGCGCCUCCUCCUCCCAAGGCUCCUCAACCUGUUGCUGAGCGUCCAGCAGCUUCAUCCGCUCCUGCUCCUGUCGUAGCUGCACCAUCUCAUGAUAAUCAUGAGGAUGCUGCCCCUGUUGAAACUGAAGGUUUGUGAUUUAUCACUUAUGUAUGUGUCUUCGGAUUUUGCUGGGCACGAAAUCAAGCAUUAUAAUAUCUUUGUCCCUGUGCAGUGUUCUCGAUGGCAUUGUGUUAUUGAGUGUUUAUGAUUUUUUACCUUCGCAUUAUGAGGUCUUGGAUAAAGAACCUGCCAGUUCAAUGUUAUUCUGAGAUACUUCUUGUGUUUCGAUGCAGCUGAUGGGCGGUCAGUUUAUGUGAAAAAUCUCCCGAUGAACUAUACUGCCUCUGAAUUGGAACAAGUAUUCAAAAACUUUGGACCUGUCAAGCCGAAUGGUGUCAAUGUUAGGAGCCAAAAGGUACUUUUAUACAGUAUCCGUCACCUUGUCCCAUUCGAAUUAUUUGCUGGCCAUGAAAAACCGACGUUUCCUUCAAUUUUGCAGCCUUGGAACUUGUUGCAAAUGUGAGAUUUUGAUGUAUUGAUUGACGUUCAAAAGGUUGAAGUUUUUACUGAUUAAUAAUAAGUUCCAAUACGGUCGUGAGCAGCAAGGCGUUUGCUACGCGUUUGUAGAGUUUGAGGAGGCAACAGCUGCACAAAGUGCAAUUGAGGUGAGACUACCAUUCGCCUGUUUCACGUGAAGGAAAAUAUAUCUUUUCCUUUAUGUUACCAUGCUACUGCUUUUUGUUUCAUCCUAAAUAUAGUGCAUUUUCUUGUCACUGAAGUUACUGAAUUGUUACUCCUUGUUCUGAAUGCAGGCUUCCCCUGUCCAAAUCAAUGGUCGCCCGGUUUACAUCGAAGAAAAGAAGCCAAUGGGGAGAGGUCAGUUCAGGCUGAAUCACUGGUCCUCUUUCCCUUCAUUCGUGUUCGGUUUUUUUUUCCUUUCAAACCGAGUUCCCAGCUCCUCCUCUUCUGUGAAAUUUGGUUGUGCACAUCGAUCCAUUCUCAUAGUUUUGUGCAUUUUGCAGCUCCAAGACGUCUAAACGACACCCGGAGCGAUCGCCCAUAUCGUGGAGAUGGAAUAAGAGGGCGUGGAUCAUAUAGUGGGCGGAACCCUGGUAGGGGUUCAAGUCAUGACACACGAGAACGCGAUGGUAACAGGGGAGGACGUGGCUCAGGGCCUGCACGUGGUGGUUACUCAACAUCAAAUAAUGGAGGUGCACCAGCUAACAGUGAGAGGCGUUCUGAAGGGCAAAGGGCACCCAGGCGUGUUCCCAACGGACCUGCCUCCCGCAGUAAUGUCACCCCUCCAGUUGCAGCUGCGUGAGACUGGCUACCAGAAUCUAUUCAUUCAGCUGGUGCAUUUUUGACUUCGAAUUGGUCAGCUUUGCAGCUCUUCUUUGGACUCAUGUUCCAUUUUUGUUUGCUUUCGGGGUUCAUUGGGUAAUUCCGAUAAGAAUAGCAUGUGGAAGCAAGGUUUGCAAUUAGUGCUAUCAAGAUUUGCAUGUAGUGCUAAGUAGAGGUUUACACCCGCCCCACUGUCAUGAUUUCUAGUGAGACUAUCUUAAAUUGUAAGACCAUGAUUGGUUGAUAGGUUAUCUUAACAUAAUGGAUACUCUGCUCAUAGCUGUUCCUGUAGCAUCAUUGGUUCAUAUAUGCAACAGUUCAUGAUUACUUCAUUGGUAUUCUUUGUAUGAAAUAGUUAGUAUCGUCUUAGUAUUUGAAGCUCUAAUGCGUUGUGUUCUGGACCUGGCUACUGUUUGUUUGGUUUGGGGGAUAAGCCCGCAACAUUUAUGCGUCACGUAACGACAAUGCUGUCUUAGCAUAUGAAAUAUUUCUGUUAAUUUUUUAUUUUAGAAUUGUUUACAACAUUGUCAAUUUUAAUGUACGUUCUAUUAAACUAUUAUUAUUAUUAGGAUAGUAAUAUCGCUCAUUUGAUAUACGUAUAGUUCUUGAAUAGAUAGAUAAUAAUUCAUAUUAAUUUACUCUUCUGUUCUUAUAGCACGCAAUGACGUAGAAUAUGUGGCAAAAGAAUGCUUAACACAACAUCCAAUACAACAAUGUUAAUCCACCAAUAACACUUUGGUUUAUGGUUUGUAGCAGCUCUAAAUUUUUACAAGGCCUUAGAACGAGAUGCAAGUUUCAGAAAUAGCCAUCAUUAUCCUCCCACAUCAGUGGUGGCUUAGUGUCAUUUCUGUCUGUAUACUUGUACUCUUUAACUUCACAGAAAUUAGAGUAUUUUUCUUAAUAAGUAAUGUAUUCACAGAUAGUCAUAUUCCUACUAAAAAAUCUCUAGAAUUAUGUGAAUGUAUUUUAUAAUGUCUGAUUUAAAACAAUCACUAAGCAAAGUUACGAUUUUUACCAUUAUCCAAGAUUGUUGAUGAAUACUACCAUAUGUUGUAUCAAUAAGUAAAGUUCAUAUCUUUUCCAAACAGAGCAAACUACUUAAAAGAAUGAUUUUUGAUAUGUUUUUGGAUUCGAGUCAGAUAUGAAUUACUAAUUUAAUAUCUAGUGAAGAAUUGUUCCAAUCCACUACAUUUUUUAAAUAGAAAUAGAAUGAAAAGAACAUUUACUAAAUCCUUUGUAACAAAAACUAUCUGCUCAAGAAGCGGAAGUCAACAAUACACUGAAAAAGUAUUAAAAAUGACAUGUCUUCUAAUUGGACUCACUGUCAAAUUUCUCGUCAGAUUUCGAGGAACAAACCGACAAAGAAGUUUAUUCAUGUCCUAGAAGGAAUAAACACAGAGAACGGAAAGAAGGACUAGGAAUGAAAAAGAUAACGUAGAAAUGG
RNAcentral lists this long non-coding RNA (48763 nucleotides) under Physcomitrium patens. RNAcentral describes it as "long non-coding RNA (PPAT_LNC013669)". Lineage: Eukaryota; Viridiplantae; Streptophyta; Bryopsida; Funariales; Funariaceae. The record is from RNAcentral.